UUCUGAUGGCUCUCUCCACGAAUGAAGAGGGGGUGGAGGGGUAUUUAUAGCCUCCACACAAAAUCCAACCAUUACACACAUUUGACCAAUGUCGGUCAGACCGAAGUUGACAACUCGGUGAGACCGAAAGUUCAAAUCAUGUGAACGUUGGGAUUUUCGGUGGGACCGAAAAUACAAACUCGGUGAGUCCGAUUCGUCCAAAGACAAGAGCUUGCCAAUCUCGGUGGGACCGACUUCAUCAUCUCGGUGACACCGAUUUGAUGACAGAAGGUUACAGAAGCUUGACAACUCAAGUUUCGGUGAGACCGAGUUCAGAAUCGGAAAAUCCGAGAUUUCUAGGGUUUGGCUAUAUGGCUGAGGUGGUUCAUCUCGGUGUGACUGAGUUUAGGAAAUCGGUGGGACCGAGAUUACUUAUGAGUGUAUUAUGGAAGUGAGAGUUGCUGAUAGUUUAGGAGAUGUAUCACUAAGCACUUUGAGCAACCAGAUCAUUAUCAUAACCUCAUCCCCUUUUAAUAGUAUUGGCUUUCCUAUAGACUCAAUGUGAUCUUGGAUCACUAAACCAAAAAUGGAGUCUUGAGCUUUUGCCAAUGCUUGCCUUAGCAUUUUGAGGGGUCCACUUCUUCAGUCCUUGCCAUACCCAUAUCACUGAACUUUCUGAAAUGAUUCUCAAGAAACUAUUAGUUCAAUGAUAUAUAUGUUGUUAUUAAUUACCAAAACCACCCGGGGAUUAGUUGCACUUUCAAUCUCCCCCUUUUUGGUAAUUGAUGACAACAUAUAGAUCAAAGCUUCGACAAAGGAUAUAAUCAAUUAAUAAUAUCGUCGCUUUGAGAAGUAUGUGAUAAGCAAGAGCUCCCCCUAAAUUUGUGCAUUAUUUAAGAUUUGCGUUUGAAUGCAAAUGCACAAUCGAUUAGGAUCAUGGGUCACUCUUCCAUGUCACAUACAUCUUGGUGGAGCGCACAAAAUGAUAAGAAUGAAUAGCAUGCACCCAAUCACCAAGACAUGAGUAAAUGGUCAUACAAGAUAGGAAUAGCAUAUGAUAAGCAUUAAGCACACAUUAAGGCAUAGUACGACCAAGCACUCAUCAAACGUAGUAUCAAACACACAGAAUGUCACGAAAACCAAAAGCAUCUCAAAAAGACCGCAAAUGAACGAAAGAGCAAAAGCGCAAAAACAACAGCACUCUCUCUCUCGAAGUCCUAUGAUCUAUACAAUUUCUCCCCCUUUGGCAACAAGUUACCAAAAAGUUCAAAAAGUAUAGAGCUAAACGUCACUAGGGACUCUGCUGGCGGCUCCUGUCUGGGUUGAUGUUGGAGUUGAGAUGGUUGCAUCGGAGAAGACUUCUGCUGAUGUCUGUGGAGCUGGAGGAGUGGUCACUGGAGCUGGAGCUGGAGCAACUGAUGGAGCUGUGGGAGGUGCUGAGGUUGUAGUCCUGGUGUCUGUCACUGGAAUAGCAGCUGAUCGGGGUCCUGUGGGAACCGGAGCAGUCUGUUCAUAAGCAUCCUGGACUAGGUCAUCCUGCAUCUCACGCAUGAGCUCUUCCUUCUCCCUCUUUGCUUCCUCGAUAUCUGCCUCAAGCUUGUUGACAGUUACUUGCACUUCAGUCAGCUUCACAUCCAGAGCAUGGAUCUGGUCUUCAACAAUCCUCUCAAGGCUCUCCUGAGACUGUACAAUGCUGGCCAGGCGUUAUUCAAUCCUUUGGGUAGCUUCAAGGAGCUGUUCUCCAACACUCUUCGGUUUAGCUGCUGCUGCUGCUGCUUCCUUCUCAGCUUUGGCUUUCUUGGCAGCUUCAAUCUUUGCUUGACCUUCAACAGAAGUUGGAUCCUCCUCAUCCAUCACAACAUCAUUGUCCUCAUGCUCAGGCUGCAGUGGUAGGUGUUCUCUAUCCAACAAGAAUGUGCCCGUGCCAAACUUGGCAUUGAUAAGCAUCUGAAUAUGCGGGGCAAAUCCACACGACCUUUUCUGGUCAGCUGCAGUCCUCUUAAUAGUCUCAACUAUCAAGUCCAUCACCUUGAAAGGUGCCUUCUCAUCAAGUAUAUGCAGCAUGUUGAUAGAGUACCCUCUGAUCAUUCGAUGAUCUCCAGACUUGGGCAUCAAGGUAUGCCUCAGAAUAGUGUUUGUGGUAGGUAGACCUGCCUGGAGAUAAUACACUGAGCCGAGCUUCCAGAUUGCUAAAUCCUUAGCUGGAACCUCCUUGUACAUAUUCUUCAUAGAUUCAUGGUUCUUCUUGGGAAUGCCAUAGACAUCAACAUCAUCCUCUCUCUGUACUGGAGCAUUCAGCAGUUCUGCCCAUUCUUCUACAGUUCAAGAGAAUCUUUGGCCUUCAGUCAUCCAUGUGAUCUUUCCAUCUGGAUAGAAAUGAGCUGUGGCAUAGAAUUGCAUAAUCAUUUCAUCAUUCCAACUUGUCAGCUUUUGACCUACGAAGUCUGCAACACCACAUGCAGUGAAGCUCUCAUGCACAUGUGGAAAGAAGUCUCUGUGCUCUUCACUGUCAAUGUAUUUCCAAUCAACAAAUCAGGUGUCUGCAACUAUUGGCUUCUUGUCCAUUAGCACAGUCUCAUAGAAGUCCUGCUGCUCUCUUGUGUGGAAUCUUGGAUCAACAGCAGUUCUUCUCCUCACAGCAUAUGGAUCAGCUUGUCUCCAUAGCCUGAGACCUCUAUCCUUCCUUUCCUUCAUGUUUUCAGCUUGAGGAUGAGCAUCAUUGUGAAGUGGCAGUUUUGGACGAAGUUUCAGCAAAACUGGUGCCUCAUCAUCUGACACAGAUGGUGGCACAUCAUCUUUCUUCUUCUCUGAUGCUGGGAUGUUCCUGACAGUCUUCUUUGGCUUGGCAGCAGGCUUUGCUGGAGCUGCCUUAGCUGGAGCAGAUUGCUUGGACUUUGAAGUGGCUCCAGCCCUGAUGGCAUCACCCAUGAGCUUAGGCUUCUGAGGAGGCUGGGGUGCUUCCUCAUCCUCAUCUUCCUCUGCUGCAUCAUCAUGCACAAUCCUCUUCCUCUUGGAAGUUUUCUUCACUUUGCUUGCAGUUGCCUCUCCCAAAUUCAGCUUCUUAGCAACAGUUGACUGCUUGACUUUGCUGGUGCCUUUCUUGGUUUGCUUCCCUUGAGGCUCUUUGGAAACAACCUUUCUCUUUGGCUUGGAGGAGACCUCUUCCUCAACAAUGAAAUCAGAAUCUUCUUCAUCAGAGUUCCUCUUCUUUCUGGCCCUGGUGGCUGCAGGAGGCAAACCACUUGGUGUGCUCCUCUUACCAUCAUCUGAUGAGCUGCUGGGUUCAGGACUAGUGCCUGCCUCUGGAAUAUCAGCAAUAGGUGACUCAGACCUGUUCUGGCUGUCACUGGCAUCUGACAUGGCUGACAACCUGUGAAUAGAUAAGGUGUAGGCAGAGUAGAAGAGUUAUCACAAACUGCAGAAGAUUUUGCAAACAAAUGAGUUCAAAUUUCAGUUUUAGGUUUUCACAGAAGACAUUUCGGUCAGACCGAGUUUAAAAUUCGGUGAAUCCGAAGUGUUCAAACAAAACCAUUUACACCACUUUCGGUUGGACCGAAGUGGGUUUUGGUCCUGCCGAAAACACUAGGGUUUCACUAAAUCCUCAUUUCGGUCACACCGAUUUGCACAACUCGGUUGGACCGAAAGGUGCAGUGCAAUGGCCAGAGGCCAAAUCGGUCAUACCGAGAAUGUAAAAUCGGUCUCACCGAGAUGUGUUCGGCGGAAACCUAACCCUAAAACUUUUACUCGAAUUUCGUUCAAAGGAACUAAUCUUGUGUUCAGGAAGAUUUCAAUCGUGGCAAGAUUACAGGCAAACCAAACGUGCAUUGAAUCGGAGAUGAGAGCACGAGUGGGAUCGAAACUCACCCUAACUUGGUGGAGUUCCUCUACGGCGGCAACGGCGCGGAGAGAAUGUCCGUUGACGGCGACGGAGACCUGCGGCGAGGGCGCACAGGCGACGACGGAGAUGAUCCGGAGACCAGGCGACGGCAGCAAGGGGUGUGGGGGCGAAGCGUUUUGAAGUAGAAAUCAACGCGCGGCCCUCGGAGUAUAUAUACCCCCUUGCUGUCGGUGGGACCAAGUUGUAAAACUCGGUGGCACCAAGAUGGACAACUGCAGGGCAGUUAUGCACUUCGGUCACGCCGAAAUUCACAACUCGGUUUCACCGAGGUGAAAACCUAGAUCAAUCCAAAUGCUUUCAGUUUGACCGAGUUUGAGUGGGUUGGUCUGACCGAAAUCACUUAGAAGGUUUUGAAAGUUAGCCCUUGACGGAUCGGUGGCUCCGAGUGCUCCUCACUCGGAGGGUCCAAAAAUGACUUGUUCAAAGUUUGUGAUGUAAGCAUGAAUAGAAUUUGAGACAAGAAAGCAUAGAUAGCUAGGGGAGGUACUUAGGCAUUCUUGUCCAUCCAUUUGGUCAGAAAAAUCAAAAAGACCAAAGCAACAAAUGGAUGUCUUCGAAUGGAUAAAAUUAUGCAUCCAACAUGCUCACACAAUAAGAUAGCAAAUGAAAUAUGUGUCAAACAUGCACAAUUAAAAUUCUAGCUACUAUCACACAAUUUGUCGAUGACUAGGUCAUCUAUAUAUGAGUAUAUUGACUUAGGAGUCAAAUGAGAGCAUUUGAUCAUAGGUCAUACUCAUCGUUUAAGCACAAGUGGGGUUACCACUUUUACAUAAAGCAUUGAUGUGUUCACAUCAUUUGAAGAUGCUUUAGCUCAAUUCUUUAGAGCAAAGCUCCCCCUAGAUGUGAGAACCCCUUUUAAAGGGUCAAACUAACCUUGGGUUGUCGUAGAAGACUUCAUGUAGAUGUUGAAGAUGUGGAUGCUCAAUGUUGAUGAAGAUCAUCAAGAGUUGGGAGCAAUCCUUUGGAUUCGGGCACUUUCAAUACCUACAUGGGUUAGUCCCACAAGGAACAAACAAGGAUAUCCAUGGACAUAGAUUGAAGUACACAAUAGAUGAUGUCCAUGAAAGCAAUGAUUACCUUGUCCCUUGACUUACCAACAAGAGGGUUUGUGACUCCAUGAACUAGUGCAAGAUGUGGAAGUUGAUUGCACGAGUUCUUGCCAAAAUGAAUGUGAGUGAAGUAUGUUGGCGGAGUCACCCUCAAGAACUCUCUAGUUCUUCUUCUUCGGGAUCCACAUCAUCUUGAUGGGAAUCCUUGGGGUUGUAGUUGAGCUUGACGAAGUAGAACUUGACGUUUCCUUGGGAACCCACUUGACCAUGGCUUUAGGUGCUUCAAUAAAUGCAUCAAUCUCCUCUUGAAGCUUGUCCUUGCCUUUUAGCUUGUGGUCUUGUGGUGGAAGAUCAUCUUGAGCUUGUUCCACAUUGAAAGAAGUAGGAUCGUACUUCUCCUUUUGAGAAACAAACUUUGGAGUGGGAUAUUGACCUUCUUCCCAUUCAACACCCUCGGCGUUGAACUUUCGCUCAAAACCAAUUCCUUGAUUCUUCCGGUGCCUUCCUUGCUUGCGAACAAUUUCCUCGAAGUUCUUGCUUCCGGCAAGGCUCCUGUAGACACCUUUCUCUAUAAUCCCUUUCAAUAAACUAUUUUCUUGCUCAAGUGUAACUUGGCUUGAAACAUUGUUAGUGGAAUCAAGAGAACUACUAGAACCAAUAUUGUUGCUUCGAGAUGAAGAAUUUUUCUUAUGCUUGUCAUGCUUAGUUUUAAUAGGUGGCAAGAAAUUAGACAAGAGAAGUCAUUUGGCAAGAUAUGAAGAACUCUUCUUUCGAAGAUCGUCAUUGAUUGCUUUUAGGAACUCAUGUUCUUGCUCUAGAUUGAGCUUCUCGAAGCGUAGCUUCUCAUGAGAUCUUAGGAGUUCUCUAUGAUCUUCUUGAGUUGUUUCAUGAGCUAACUUAAGAGUGUUUAGUUCUUUAGUUAGACGCUCAAUCUCCUUCAUAGCAUUGUCAUUCGACUCUUCUCGACUAUAAAGACUACUAGCAUGUUCAUCAUUACUAGGCUCACUAGAUUUAUCAUGUAAAAGCUCAUCUUCACCAAGCAAGUCAUCCUCAUCACUAUCAAAGUCAAUGAAUUCAGGGUGUGAUACCUUGGGGCCUUUAGCCAUGAAGCAUCUUCCAAUUCCCUCAUUUGGUGAAUCAAAUAAGUCAUAGGAGUUGGAGUUGGAGGACAUGAGAGCAAGACCGGCAACACCUUCAUCUUGACUGUAGUCGGAGUUGGAGUGAUAGCUUCUUUCGGAAUGAUUGUCGGAGUCGGAGCCGGAGACCCAUUCACCUACAUGAGCUUGAUGUUUUCUUAUUGUGUAGCUCCUUGAUGACUUGUCUUUCCUCUCCGAAUCCUUGCUUCUCCGAGAGGGUCUUCGUUCAUAACGAUCAUCUCUACCCCUUCUCUCUUUUCGAGGUGACUCUUCUCUUGAGCUUCUUCUUCUUGGAGAUUCUUCUCUUCUCUUGUGGGGAGCCGAACACUCAUUUGAGUAGUGUCCGGGUCUUCCACAAUUGUAGCAGUUUCGAUCACGACUAGAAGAUCUCUUUUCAUCAUAUGAUCUAGACUUUGAGCUUCUCUCUUUGCUUCUACUCUUGUAGAAUUUGUUGAAGUUCUUCACCAUUAGGCUUAUCUCUUCAUUGGAAACUAGCUUGUCACGUGAGGUUGUGGGAGCAUCACUUGUAGCUUUGUAAGCACCACUUGACUUGUUGUGAAGCUCUUCCUUAUCUUUAAGUGUCAUCUCAUGAGCAACAAUUCUUCCAAUGACUUCGGUUGGCUUGAGAUUCUUGUAGUUUGGCAUCAUUUGGAUCAAAGUGCACACGGUGUCAUACUUUCCAUCCAAAGCUCUGAGAAUCUUCUUGAUAAUGAAUCGGUCGGUCAUUUCUUCGCUUCCUAAGCCGGCAAUCUCAUUUGUGAUGAGAGCAAGCCUAGAGUACAUUUCAGCGACUCCUUCACCUUCCUUCAUCUUGAACUUGUCAAGUUGACCUUGAAGAACAUCUAGCUUUGAUUCCUUCACGGACUCGGUACCUUCGUGCAUUUCGACCAAAGUAUCCCAAAUCUCUUUUGCAUUCUCAAGACGGCUGAUUUUGUUGAACUCCUCGGGACACAAAGCAUUGAAGAGAAUGUCACAAGCUUGAGCAUUGUUUUGCAACAUCCGCAAUUCAUCCGUUGUAGCUUCGCGAUCCGGAACUUUUCUUCCUCGAAGAACUCACCUUGCAAACCAACACAAAUAAUGCCCCAUGCGGCUGGGUUAUGGCCAAGAAUAUGCAUUUUCAUUUUAUGCUUCCAACUAGCAAAGUUUGAACCAUCAAAGUAAGGACCUCUACGAAAAUUACCCUCACUAGACGCCAUACUCUCCUAGGUUGUGAAACCAAGCUUAUGGAGUCCAAUGCAAUGGAAACCAAUACAAUGGAGACCAAAGCUCUGAUACCACUUGUAGGAUCGAAAGUAUGUCUAGAGGGGGGGUGAUUAGACUACUUGACAAUAUAAAAAUUCAGCCUUUUGAUAAAGACAAGUUUUUGGCAAGUUCACAAUGAUGAUCAAGUCAAGUAUCACCCUACACAUGCAAUUCUAGAGUAUAGGCAGCGGAAAGUAAAUUGCACAUGUAGUAAAGAGAGGUGGAGAAGAGCAAACGCAAUUUGGAGACACAGAGAUUUUUUCUCGUGGUUCCGAGGUGGUGCUAUCGUCAAUCCACGUUGAUGGAGACUUCAACCCACGGAGGGUAACGGCUGCGAGAGUCCACGGAGGGCUCCACCCACGAAGGGUCCACGAAGAAGCAACCUUGUCUAUGCCAUCAUGGCCUACGCCCACGGAGGGCUAGCCUUACUCGGGGUAGAUCUUCACGAAGUAGGCGAUCUCCUUGCCCUUACAAACUUCUUGGUUCAACUCCACAUCUCGACGGAGGCUCCCAAGCGACACCUAACCAAUCUAGGAGGCACCACCCUCCAAAAGGUAAUAGAUGGUGUUGAUGAUGAUGAACUCCUUGCUCUUGUGCUUCAAAUGAUAAUCUCCCCAACACUCAACUCUCCUCACUGAUUUGGCUGUGGUGGAAGAAAGGAUUGAGUGGAAAGCAACUUGGGAAGGCUAGAGAUCAAGUUUCAUAUGGUGGGAGUGGAGCUACUUGAUCUCAACACAAGGGUAGGUAGUUUUCUUCUCAGAAAUGUAAGGUAGGAGUGGUAGUACUUUCUGAUGGCUCUCUCCACGAAUGAAGAGGGGGUGGAGGGGUAUUUAUAGCCUCCACACAAAAUACAACCGUUACACACAUUUGACCAAUCUCGGUCAGACCGAAGUUGACAACUCGGUGAGACCGAAAGUUCAAAUCAUGUGAACGUUGGGAUUUUCGGUGGGACCGAAAAUACAAACUCGGUGAGUCCAAUUCGUCCAAAGACAAGAGCUUGCCAAUCUCGGUGGGACCAACUUCAUCAUCUCGGUGACACCGAUUUGAUGACAUAAGGUUACAGAAGCUUGGCAACUCAAGUUUCGGUGAGACCGAGUUCAGAAUCGGAAAAUCCGAGAUUUCUAGGGUUUGGCUAUAUGGCUGAGGUGGUUCAUCUCGGUGUGACUGAGUUUAGGAAAUCGGUGGGACCGAGAUUACUUAUGAGUGUAUUAUGGAAGUGAGAGUUGCUGAUAGUUUAGGAGAUGUAUCACUAAGCACUUUGAGCAACCAGAUCAUUAUCAUAACCUCAUCCCCUUUUAAUAGUAUUGGCUUUCCUAUAGACUCAAUGUGAUCUUGGAUCACUAAACCAAAAAUGGAGUCUUGAGCUUUUGCCAAUGCUUGCCUUAGCAUUUUGAGGGGUCCACUUCUUCAGUCCUUGCCAUACCCAUAUCACUGAACUUUCUGAAAUGAUUCUCAAGAAACUAUUAGUUCAAUGAUAUAUAUGUUGUUAUUAAUUACCAAAACCACCCGGGGAUUAGUUGCACUUUCAGGCUGCUAGCUCCGGCGCCUUACGUGGUGCCAGAGAAGAAGGUCAGGAAGAAGGCCACGGGAACCCAAAAGAGUUCCCGACAUCAGGUGUUAUCGGACUCAUCAUCCGAUGACUCCAAGGCAGACUCCUCCCGCGAAGACGAGGAGGAGAAAAAAGAGGCUUCUCCCCCAGCGGGGGGUGAGAAGAAAAGGAAGGCUGCCCCAACGGGGGAGGCUGAAGGGUCCAAGAAGGGAAGGACCCUCCCUCCAGACUACUCCACCAUUGCCGACGACGAUGAAGAGGAGUGGCCACCAAGGACUAAGCCCCUGGCGACUUCGUAAGUGUCCAUAUACCAGUAUAACUCAUGGUGUUUCAUUUGUCGCAUAGAAUCUUCUAACACCGAAUACAAGCCUGCAGCCCGCCCAAGGACGGGCUCGACAUUUCAACGAGCGACUCCCUGGCUCCGUCGGACAUGAAUAGCACUUCACUUCUGGCCGCCUCCUCUCCUCGCGCUGCUGAUGACGCUGAGGUGGGGUCCCAAAAGGGGCCCAGCCAGGAGGAGGAGGUCCCGGAGGUGUCGCAAGGCAACCUCCCGGACUUUGGGCAUAAGGGGGAUCAAACCCCAAGGGGUUCUAAGUCCGGCCCUGGGCCGGACUCCGCACCGGAACCUUCAUUGGUUCUGGAGUCCUGCAGGCGGCCCCUUCAUAAGAAGGGCGAGACUGCGACACCGGUGGCCUCCGUCCAGCCGGAGGCACCGGAUAAUUUGCUGGAGGCGCUCAACGGCGCCUCCAUCGACGAGGAGCACCACAAUUUUAUGAGUGCGGUGAUCCAGAAAGUUCAGUACGCCAAGAGCGGGCUGACUGAGGCCUGUACCAGCCUUCUAAUAGGCUUUGAGGUAUGUAUUUAAGAUAUGUAAAAAUAUUACCGCAUAGAUUGUAGCACCUGAUGCUCAGUUUGGUGUUUGGAAAGAAAAGCCGAACUGAGGAUCUAAAAAGAUAUACGCAGGAGUCUAACAUAAGCAUGUCAAUACGGGAAUGCAGGCUGCGCUGCUGACCUCUGCCGCAUUGACUGCAGAGGUCGAUGCAUUGAAGAGAGCCUCGAGCAGUCUGAGAACGAGCCCGGCCUUGCCAAGAAGCAGCUCGAGGACAAGGAAGGUAAGUAAUACCUUAUUAAAGUAAUAACUUAUAGAAAGGAUUUGGUUGCAAAAACUGACAGGAAUAACGUGAGUAUUGCAGGUGCCACGAACGAGGUGGCGACCCUGAAGGAAGCGGUGUCCAAGGCCGAAAACAGUGCGGCCGCGAAACGCACCGAGCUAGAGAGGCAGGAGGCGCGGGUGGCGGAGGUGCGGCAAGAGCUCCAGGCUCUCGUGGAAAAACACGAGAGUUUGGAGCGUGACUCGAAGACUCGAGAGUCCGAGCUCGCCUCCGCUCUUGAGAGCGCCAAAGCCACUAAGGCCGAAGCCCAAAAAGCCCUCCAGGAAAUUGAGGCAAUAAAGAACAUAGCGGCGGGUAAGGCAUUCUUCAUGCAAAGCAAGCACGUGAAAGUGAAUUACUGGUUACUUACCCGAAUCCGGAGCUCUCUAGGAGCAUUCACAGAUCUGCCCCGCAGUGUGUCCGCCUACGCCACAUUCUACUGGGCUGAGGAAGGGAGCUCGACGGAGAAGGUGUUCUGGUCUCAGUAUGUUGAGGCCGGACACCCUGUGCCCCUGAGCGACCAGCUGAAGCAGCUGGUCGAGCUCCAUAAGGUGGCCGAACAUGCCAUGAAGGUCCUCAUAGUUCGGCUGUGGCCCGAGGAAACCAUGCCUGGGAGCUACUUCGGGCUGGUGAGGCGGCUGGUGGACACAUGUCCAUGAAUUGAAGUCGUUAAGCGCUCCGUCUGCAUCGAAGGUGCCCGUAGGGCCCUUGCCCGUGCUAAAGUGCACUGGGGCAAGAUGGACGCUGAGAAGCUUGUGACGGAUGCUCCACCGCCGGGCAGGGAGUAUCGCAAGCCCGAGAUGUAUUAUGAGAACGUCCUGAAGGGUGCCCGCCUUAUAGCGGGUGAAUGCUCCAAAGAUGUAAUUUUUGAGUAGACUCGCAUUUGUUAUCCUGUACGCUUGAAAACUUUGUUCAUGUGCGCUAAGCAACGCUUGUUAAUUUAAAAUAUUACCUUCUGUGCGGCCGUUUAUCAAAUUUGAGAGAUGGCGAGUCGUUGGCUUCAGCCCCCAUGCCACGAGUGCUGGGGUGUUCGGGAUAAACUUGAGCGCUCUUGUUCCCAUUCUUGGGUCCUUCGAGGGAGGCGUUCAACACGACGAACGAGGCAACCGGACUAUAAUGCUUGAACACUCUCACUUAGCCAUAGAAUUCUAUAAUUUUAAAUUUUGGCGAAGCCCCUGGUAUUCGGAAGACCGAGUUUGGGGCGCUAUCCACGCCUUGGCCGGACAAUGCUGACUCCUCACUCUAAGUAGCAUGAGUCUUUAGGGGCCCAAAAAACCAAUCGAACAGCGACCGGCUCUCGCCCUAUCAUGACAGUCAGUUUUAGCUUUCUCUGCUGAGGUGCUUAACCCAGCUCAACCGGGGCACAAUCGUAGUGGUUCUCCCAGCGCAACCUUAGCCGAUAUAACGGAACGUAAGGUACCAAAACAUGGGAGCCGGGCAAACCCAACUAUUGACCCAAGACAUGAUUCGGAGCCGAUGCAUAUAAUGCUAUAAGUUCAGGGUGCCGCACUUGUGAAAGUGUUCGGACUUAUCACACCAUGUUUUGGGGUACUUAAGCCCCUGGUGUAUUAACUGUACCAAGUUGUACGGGUGCAACAUGUCAUAGAUGAACAUUUAUGGAAGAAAAAAAAGGAAUGCAAUAAUAAGAAGAAGCUAUGUAUUGUUUAUUCAAAAGAUACUGCAAUGAAAGCAGAACGAUACAAAUAGUGCGAUAAGCAAGGGUUGGGACUAUUUAACAUGUCCACCUCCAGGGGUAGGCUGCGGGAUGGUAUGUAAAACAGGUAUACUGCUCGUAAUAGAGACCACCUGGAUACUCGACGUAGCUUUUCUGCUUCCCUGGCUAUUGCAUCUUGAGUUUGGCGAUUCUACCGCCGGACAGGGCUUCUGGAAAACGGAGUCCUGAGAAUAAGAAAAAAAGAAUGAGACAAUUGGGAGACCCUGGUGCAGUUGAGCCGCACUCUAGGCAUGCCGUGGUCGUGCCCCUCCCCCUAUGCCCAUGGUAUCUCCAGAGUGUAGUUAUGUAUGCGUGGUACUGGUCUCGCGAUUUUGCGAGGGCUGGGGUUGGGGCCGCAUUGCUACGCGUGCUCGGAACGUGCCAGGCGGUAUUGUUGUAGGUUACUCCGGGCGCGCUUGAUGGUGUCCGGACGUUUAGUAGUCGGACUUGAGAAUUGCCUUAAGAGGCUGCUUUGUACUUCCUCCGCGAGGGCCGCCGUAUGCUCCUCCGUUCGGAGAGAGCGUUCGGUGUUUCCAUUGACCGUGAUUACUCCUCAGGGCCUGACAUCUUGAGCUUGAGGUAUGCGUAGUGCGGCACCGCAUUGAAAUUUGCAAAUGCGGUUCGUCCGAGCAGUGCGUGAUAGCCGCUGUGGAACGGGACUAUGUCGAAGAUUAAUUCCUCGCUUCGGAAGUUAUCCGGGGAUCCGAAGACCACUUCGAGUGUAACUAAGCCUGUACAGUUGGCCUCUACACCUGGUAUGACGCCUUUAAAGGUCUUUUUUGUGGGUUUAAUCCUUGAGGGGUCUAUGCCCAUUUUGCGCACUUUAUCCUGGUAAAGCAGGUUCAGGCUGCUGCCGCCGUCCAUCAUGACUCUAGUGAGGUGAAAUCCGUCAAUGAUUGGGUCAAGAACCAAUGCAGCGAAUCCGCCGUGGCGGACGCUAGUGGGGUGGUCCCUUCGAUCAAAAGUGAUCGGGCAGGAGGACCAUGGGUUGAACUUUGGGGCGACUGGCUCCAUCGCGUAUACGUCCCUUAGUGCACGCUUCCGCUCCCUUUUGGGUAUGUGGGUUGCGUAUAUCAUGUUCACCGUCCGCACUUGUGGGGAAAAGCCCUUCUGUCCUCUAUUGUUCGGCGGACGGGGCUCCUCCUCGUCAUCGCUAUGCAGCCCCUUGUCGUUGUUUUUGGCAUUUAACUUGCCUGCCUGCUUGAACACCCAACAAUCCCUGUAGGUGUGGUUGGCUGGUUCUUCGGGAGUGCCAUGUAUCUGGCACGAGCGAUCGAGUAUUCGGUCCAGAUUGGACGGGCCCUGAGUAUUUCUUUUGAACGGCUUUUUCCGCUGACCGGGUUUAGAGCCUCUGAAUCCGUCAUUGACUUUCGUAUCUUCAGCAUUAUCGCCGUUAAUGCAGCGCUUGUGCUUGUUGUGACGUGACCUGCCAUUGCUGUCCUUGGUAUCCGAACUACCAGGGUUUUUGGUCAGGUUGUUACUGUGAGCUAGCCAGGUGUCCUCUCCCGCGCAGAAGCGGGUCAUGAGUGAUGUGAGGGCUGCCAUGGAUUUCGGCUUUUCCUGUCCUAGGUGCCAGGCAAGCCACUCGCCGCGGAUGUUAUGUUUGAAGGCUACAAGGGCCUCUGCAUCCGGACAGUCAACGAUUUGAUUUUUCUUGGUUAAGAACCAUGUCCAGAAUUGUCUGGCCGAUUCAUCUGGCUGCUGAAUUAUGUGGCUUAGGUCAUCAGUGUCUGGUGGUCGCACAUAUGUGCCCUGGAAGUUAUCAGCGGCUUCCAGGUCUUCCCAACAACCAAUUGAUUCUGCUCGCAAGCUGUUGAGCCAAUGCCGAGCUGGUCCUUUAAGCUUGAGUGGGAGGUAUUUGAUGGCGUGUAGAUCAUCACCGCGGGCCAUGUGGAUGUGAAGGAGAUAGUCCUCAAUCCAAACCGCAGGAUCUGUUGUGCCGUCGUAUGAUUCAAUGUUUACGGGUUUGAAACCCUCGGGGAUUUGAUGAGCCAUUACUUUGUCUGUGAAGCAUAGUGGGUGUGCGGCGCCUCUGUAUUGGGCUAUAUCACGACACAGCUCAAAUGAGCUUUGUCUACUGUGUUCGGCCCGACCGGAAUUGUUGUAUCCGGCAUGACGGUUGUCAUCACGUAUCGUGGGGCGCCCACGCGAUCUGUAGAUCGAUCUUAUUUUUCUUGCCUUGUCCUCCAAUAUGUCUCGCAAGUCUGGCACAUUCCCCCGUGGCUUUAUACUUUUCGAGCGAUGCCGGGGUGUGGGUUUAGUGGAGGGCCUAGAGGUCUCUCUGUCACGGCCACGAGGUGGCCAGUCGGCCGCGUCAUGCGCUGGUGAUGUAGGUUUGGGUGCUUCCUCCUCUAAUUGGGGUAGUAGCCUGCGUUUUGGGUAGCUCUUGGAGGGGCGAUCGAGUUUGUACUCUUCGGCUGCAAGGACUUCGGUCCAUCUGUCCGCUAGCAAGUCUUGGUGAGCUCUAAGCUGCUGCUGCUUUUUCUUGAGGCUGCUUGCCGUGGCCAUAAGCCUGCACUUGAAACACUCUUGUUCGACGGGAUCCUCGGGCACGACAAAUUCGUCGUCGUCGAGGCUUGCUUCAUCUUCGGAGGGAGGCAUAUAAUUAUCGUCCUCUACCUCUCUGUCUGCCUCUCUAUCAUGAGGGCUGGCUUCUCCCUCCUCCUGUGUUGUAUCCUGCUGGAGGGGGUUGUCUUUGGCACUGUCCGGGGUGUUAUUAUCUCCUGUGCCGGAAUCACCGUUUUUGCUGUGGCGGGAUUUAGAGCGGUGCCGCUGACGCCGGCACUUGGGCUAUUUCUUGGAAGGGUCAUCCUCCACUGUCCAUUGCCAUUCCCAUCUUUUGGGAUGUCCACCAUGUAUAUGUCGUAUGACGAGGUGGCCUUGCAGUUCCCUAUAGGUGCUGGUUCUUGGUUGUCUCCUACAUCGUCGUCCAUACCGUCGAUGUCUUCGGAGUCGAAGUCGAGCAUGUCGGUUAAAUCAUCGACAGUGGCUACAAAGUGGGUGGUGGGUGGGCGUUGAAUUUCUUCGUCGUCCGCAUCCCAACCUUCCUGACCAUAGUCCGGCCAGGGCUCUCCUGAUAAAGAGAGAGACUUUAGUGAAUUCAGGAUGUCGCCAAAGGGCGAGUGCUGAAAGAUGUCCGCGGCAGUGAGCUCCAUAACCGGCGCCCAAUCGGAUUUGAUUGUAAGGGGCGCGGGAGGUUCGGACUCCGGAGAGGAGUCCUGCACCUCGGAGUCAUGGGCUUUGCAAAGGACAGGGAUGGUGUUCGGCUCAAUCGCCGUAGAGAUCGUAGCCCCCGAGGCGGUGUCCAGCCACUCGUCCUCGACCGGCGAAGUCGGCUCCGAGCUAAGGGUCGGAGCGGACGCUGAUGCGGCCUCCAGGGCACUGUUCGGCGGCGGAGCUAGAUCAUACCCAUCGAGACAGUGCGGCGCGCUUGGCUGUGGCUCGAAUCCGUCGAAGAUCAAGUCUCCGCGGAUGUCAGCCGUGUAGUUCAAACUCCCAAAUCUGACCUGAGAGCCAGGGGCGUAGCUUUCGAUCUGCUCCAGAUGGCCAAGUGAAUUGGCCCGCAGUGCAAAGCCGCCGAAUACGAAGAUCUGUCCAGGGAGAAAAGUCUCACCCUGGACCACGUCGUUGUUGAUGAUCGAAGGAGCCAUCGGGCCUAAAGGUGAUGACACAGAGGAACUCUCAAUGAAAGCACCAAUGUCGGUGUCAAAACUGGCGGAUCUCGGGUAGGGGGUCCCGAACUGUGCGUCUAGGCGGAUGGUAACAGGAGACAAGGGACACGAUGUUUUUACCCAGGUUCGGGCCCUCUCAGUGGAGGUAAAACCCUACUCCUGCUUGAUUAAUAUUGAUGAUAUGGGUAGUACAAGAGUAGAUCUACCACGAGAUCAAAGAGGCUAAACCCUAGAAGCUAGCCUAUGGUAUGAUUGUUGUUCGUCCUACGGACUAAAACCCUCCGGUUUAUAUAGACACCGGAGAGGGUUAGGGUUACACAGAGCCGGUUACAAUGGUAGGAGAUCUACAUAUCCGUAUUGCCAAGCUUGCUUUCCACGCCAAGGAAAGUCCCAUCCGGACACGGUACGAAGUCUUCAAUCUUGUAUCUUCAUACUCUAGGAGUCCGGCCAACGGUGAUAGUUCGGCUAUCCGGACACCCCCUAAUCCAGGACUCCCUCAGUGGUGGUGGUUGAUAAAGAAGUAAUCGUUCCUAAGUAGCCGAAACACCUUAGGAGACUCGAAUCACUACUCAAGUAACCACUAAUGCUAUGGGAACGAAAUGGGUUAAGUUGCGGAAGUCGGUGGUGGUAAUGCGGAUGAUAUGGUGGAGGGCCUAGGAAAACUUGCCAAAUUUUCGAAAUUUUGAUGGAUUCAAAUGGUAUUGAAACCUAUCUAGAUGGAUGGGGGAUGUCAAUAGCUUCUCAACGAGCUAAAGAACGCGAAAAUCGAACUCCGGAUGUGAAAGUUAUGGGCAAAAUGGUGAAACACGGGAGGCUGAUUUCCCAGGGGCCGGAUAUCCGGGGGUAGGGGCCGGAUUUCCGGGGUGUAUGUCCAGAACCGUGCAGAUUUAGCGCUCCAGGAGCCGGAUGUCCGGCCCGAUGAUUCCAAAUCUCGUUUGGGGCGGAAAUUUUUGAAUUGUGGGCGGAAAUUGAUGAUUCCAAGGGCAAAAUUAGAGAGAUUUCGUGGAUGGAAGGUGGGGAAACUUGGGGGAAAGCUAGAUCCACUCGAAAGUAAGCAAAUCCAUGGAUCAAUAUCAACAAAACAUCAUCAAACGAACAAAUGACAAAAAAAAUUGUGGCUAUUGUUGGUGGGGAUUUUUGAAAUUUAGGACAAAAUCAAGCAAAAGAGGGCUAGAAAAUGGUGGGAGGGACUCCAAAUACAUGAUAAACGUGGAUCAUGAUACCAUAUGAUACAGGGCUAACCCGGUGUAGGUCAAUCUUUCACGAUUGGAGUGGGAUCCCUCGAAGAACACGAGGAAGAACGGGGCAAAAUCACAAGGGGAAACCCUCAAGAACAAGUCCAAUCGCACAUCCACUAGACAAUCAAACACACAAGAUCCACAAGGUUACAAGAACAACAGAAGGAAAGAUAUAAGGUAGAGUUCAUCUCCAAGAGGAGAUCUUUAUGGUAUCCUAGAUGGAUCUUCCCGCGAGGGGGUCUUGAGGAUAUCCCGCAAGAUCAUCUCACAUGGACGUCUUGAACUCCAUGGGAGUGGUCUCUCUCUCUCUCUCUCAAGAGGAGGAGGUAGGAGCAAAGCUUACCCAAGAAUGAGCUAUCAUAUUUGCUAACCCUAGAAUGGAGGAGGGGGUGGUCGAUUUAUAGUCGAAGAUACGAAAGGGUAAGUGGGAAAGGGAUACAUGGGCCUCUAGCCCGACUAUGCGCGCAGGCAGGCGCCGGAUGUCCGGGCUGGGGGGGGCGGAUGUCCAGGCUCUCGUGAGACGCCGGAUGUCCGGGGCGGUUGGCCGGAUGUCCGGGCCGAGCGGGGUGGCCUUCUGUUGGCUCCUGUUGUCGAUGCCAGAUUUCUGGCAGAAGGCCGGAUGUCCGGGCCGUCGGGAGGCGCCGGACGUCCGGGGCUGACGCCGGAUGUCCGGGGCCUGUAGCACUUGGGCUGUUGGGCUACUGCUGUCGUUGACAUCUCCAGGGGCCGGAUGUCCGGGCCAGGGCCGGAUGUCCGGGUCCUGGGAGCUGUCUCCGUCUUCUUCCGUCGUCGCAUUCAGGCUUCCCUCGUGGAUGGUGUAGUUGUUCCUUGGCGCUUGCACUCCUCCUCUUUGACCAUAGUGUUCCGAUAAUACCUAUGCAUGCACACGAGAAAAGUGUCAAGUAGUACACCAUCCCCAAAGGGGUCAAGUGAACACGUGUAAAGGAGAAGAUUCACCUUUAUGUAUGAUAAGUAGAGGUCGCACGUGUCACUUGCCAAACAAACUCUUAACAUGGUGAUGUCCAUAGGAUGCUCCGCAUCAUCCCCUCUCCCUUGGAAAAGAUCCGACCUUGGAUCGGAAGCCAAAUCACCAUGGGAAAGAGAUGGCGUUGCCGUGUUGAUGCGGUCGAUCACCAAGCACUCAUCAUCUUGAAGAUCGAAAUAGGCACUCUCCAAUGUCGCACCGUCUAGUGAUUCCUUCAAAAGUGGCAAAGACAACAAACACUUGGAAAAACAAAUGUGGUUAGUGUUAGUGCAAAACCAAGCAUUCAAGAGGUGAUUCACCAAACAAGUGUUGUCAUCAUGCAAACCAUAUGGUUUGACAAAGGAUUGUGACCUGGCAUGUAAGCAUAUCAAUCGAGCACAAACAAAGAUAUCAUGGGGACAAGUAUGCCAAUGUGAGGUAGAGAUGCAAAUAUGUGUGAGAAGAGAAUAAGAAUCUACCUCGAGGUCAUAGAAAGCAUUCACAAAUUGCUCAAUGAAAGGUCUAUGGUAGGCAUGAGAAUCAUUCACAACACCAAAUAAAAUGAAGUGUCUAAACACAUGGGUCAAGUUCAAGACAAUCCAAGCAUACUGUGCAUAGGGUGUAGUGAAUAUAGUUUGGCACUCAACACAAUAGAAAGAGCAAUUGUUCAUCAUGUGUGAGGCAAUCAAGUGAAUCAUGUUACAAGCAAAGGGACAUGGCAUAUGUGAAGAAAUGAUAUUGGUGCAACCAACCAUAUGAUAGUAGCAAGUAGUCCAAGAAUUGGAUGCAACACACAAGGUAUAUAUGUCAUGAAGCAUGGAAAUGUGGCAAUCAUGGGUGAAAGCAAUAUCUUGAACAUGCAUGCAAAUGGUGCAAGAAACACAUGAAGUAUGAUCCACAAUAUCAAAGCUCAAGAAGGAUGUCACCUUGAAAGCAUGUCCUUAUGCAUUCUUCACAAUGCCGAAGUUGUAGGAAAUGUGGUGUAGAAUCGAGUUGUGGUAGAAUAUAUGAGGCUCGCUCUCAAGAUCUCGAAUGGUCAACACACGUGAAGUGGAAGUCGACACAAAGUCCAAGUGUCCUACACAUGCACACAACAAAACAAAGAAUGUAUGCGCAUGGUAGAUAAACACAUCAUCCAUCAUGAUGGUUUUCAUCUUUUGCGCAUAACCAUUAGAAGCAAAAGUGCAUGAAUAAUAUGAUGCAACAAUGGUGAUAUUCAUGGCACUAGGUAUAUGGUGCAAAGAAGUAAGACAAGCAUGCUUCACAAGGAAUAUGUCAAAAUCUCCAAACAAAUGUGAGUAUUCUAUGGGGGCAAUCUCAUGAGCAAGACUAUAAGCGUUGUUGCACUCAAUACAUGGCAAGUCAUCUAGCAUGAGAGAGGCAACACAUGGAGAUAUAUGACAAGAAGCAAUAUGAAUCAUGUGCAAAGCAUAUAGAUGGUUGUCAUCAACCGCAUGAAAUGAGCAAGUAUGAGUCAUUGGUGAUGCAACAUAAGCAAUCAUAGUAAUCAAGUCGUGCAAACUAGUGGAGCGAAGAUGCAACACACUAGAAGAAAUCAUGGAAAUCAUGUCAUGUGAUCAAAUAAUAGGCAUAGGGAAUGCACAUGACAUAUUGCAAGCAUGAACACAAAGUAAGAUGAAAGUAUCAUCAUAGGAAUGGUGCACAAAAGGAACAUGGCAAGAACAUGCAAUAUGUCCACCAAGCAUGCAAAUACACAUACAAGUACUAGAAUCAAUCAUCAUGUGUAAUGCAAAGUAUGGGUCACAAAUGCAUGUCAAAGGCAUAGGAAUGAGCAUAUCAUGCAAAGUGAACAUGGCAAGAUGGGCAUAUGAUAUGUAAUGGACAAUAACCCAUAGCAAAGUGAGGGCCAUGUAGAAGAAAUGCGUGAAGUCUUUGCGCGAAGAGAAUGGUGGGAAAGACGAUCCAUGGGAUCCCAAGUCAUCAUUACUCUCUAGAGCUCAUUUUGCCAACUCGUGGGAUUGCGAGGUUGACAAGUAUUCAUGGGUACAUACACAAAAGAGACACAAACCAAAGAAAUUGUGCAUGUGGUAAAUGUACACAUCAUCCAUCAUGAUGUGUAUGUUCACAUUAGAGUUAGCACAAUAUAAGCAUCGCUCAAAGAAAUUUGAUGCAUCGUAUAUGAACAUGUCAUCCAUCAUGAAAGAAUAGUUAUUAUGUAUGACAUGAUGGGGACACAAAUUGAGAAUGCAAGUAUAUGGAACAUCAAUAUCAUAUUUGUUCAUGGGGAGCAUGUGGUGCACACAAGUAUUUGGAUCAUGCAAUGAAUGGGAGGGAUCAAAUUCUCCUAACAUGUAUGAGGAAACUAUGGGGUCUCCUCAUGAGGAAUAUCGGAAACAUCAUAUGGAGAAAAUGGACAACAUCCAAAACAAUGCAUAUCCGAAGCUAGGUGGUCAUGGCAUGGCAUAUGAGAUAAAUGAUGCCAAGAGAGCAUAUUAAUAUCAUCACAAGAAAAACAAAUGCCAAUAACCAUGGGCUUGUCAUCUAUGCCAUAUGUGCAAAUUGGGUUUAUUUUAAUGGCAUAUGCAUAGUCAUUAUGAAGAGAUUGCAAAUAAGACAUAUGGUUGAUCUCAUGCGUAGCAUAUGACAAGUCAAGCGGAUGAUCAAACAUGAUGUGACCUAAAGAAUUGUCACAAGAAAUCCUAUGUAACAUGGCAUCACAACUAAGAGACUCCACAUGAGAAUCAUCAUACUCAUCAUAAAUGGGCAAAUCAUCACAUGGGGAAAUCAUACUAGAAUGAAGCAUGGUACUAGGUGGAUCAACAUCAUGCAAGCAAUCAAUGUCAAGAAUGUCCACUAGUGGGACUAGAGCAUCACCUUCACCUAUGUUACCUUUUUCAUUCCACUCAAGUCGUGUAGGUGAGGUGGGAAAGACCAAAUGGUGGUCAUCUUCAUCUUGAUGGAACCAUGUGUGGGGUGCAUCAUAUUCCACCAUGUCCAUCGUCUUGUACAAAGGGAGGACGAAGUCAUCGAGGAUCAGCGCGUCAUCAUAAAUGGGACCUAGCACCAAAUGAGAAGACACAAUAGAGGUAGAGGUCAAGUUGUUAGAAAUGCAAAUGACCUCAUGAGACCUAUCAACUAUCACACUCUCUCUAUGUGGUGGUUCACUCACUCCCUCAAAAUAGGUGCACUCAAAGUCACAUAUGGUGGAGUCACUCAUCUCACUCAAGUGGUGGGGGUUGUGGCUCUCCUCACAUGGGAAUUGUGGCAAUUCAUCAUAUGUGGGGCUAGUGGUGAACUCGCUCUCACUCUCAAUAUGGUGGCACAAGUCACUCAAGUCAUCAUACGUUGCCGUGGUCAAAGGUACAAUCCCAUGCUAAAGCAUCUCGUCGCCGUCGUCGUGGAUGAAGGCCGAAGAUGGCACAUCAUCACUCUCCUCCAUGACCAAAGGGAAAAUCCCAUGCUCGAUCAUCUCAUCACCGUCUCCAUGGAUGAAGGCCGAAGAUUGCACAUCAUCACUCUCGCGUCCAAAGAUGGAAACAUCAUCCUUGCUUGCCACCUUGUCGCUCGCCUCCAAAGCUUGGUCCUUGAGGGUCUCCGUAGUCAUACUCAUCGCUGCACCGUCUUGAAAAAGAGUCGAAGUAGACUCAGCCUCAUCAAUGCCACAAAGAGGGAUGGCGGUGAAGUCGAACUUGGGAGCAUCAUCUUGGAGCUCGUCGGGCUUGGACAUCGUGGUGGUACUAGCCUCAUGCUUGUCGUAGGGCUUGGUCGCCAUGAAGUGUGCUUGGGGUGGAGAAGCCUUGGCCUUCAUGAGUUCUUGUGCCGCCUUGAGAGCACCAAUGUAGUAGUCAUCGAGGGACUUGUAGUUCUCGAGGAAGAUAGUCUUGGAGAUGCCAUUUUUCAAUCCCAUCAUGAAGUGGAACUUCAUCAAAAUGGGGUCGUCCACGCCGGCUCGUCGCAAGGCGAUCUUCAUCUCCUUGAAGUACUUGUCGAUGGACUUGGAUCCUUGGAUUGUGUUCUCCAAUUGGCAUCGAAGUUGUUCUGUGUAGGUUGGAGGCACGAAAUCUCGCCGCAAAACUCUCUUCGUCUUGGGCCAACUCAUCUCGUAGCUCUCCAAAGGUGUGUGAAGCCACCAUGUCGAGGCGUAGUCGUGGAAGUUUCUUGUGGCGCACUUCAGUUGAUCUUCGGAAGGGAUUUGAUGUAGCUUGAGGUAGUCGUCCAUCAAAUGCUCCCACUCGAGAUACUCCUCGGGUUCUUGAGUCCUGUAGAAAGGAAUCUCAUUGUCGGUGUCGAGGUUGUAGUAGCUCGUGGAAGUCGCAGACUUGAGCUUGGGGAUCUUCUCUUGAGUGUAGUCUUGGGGUGCUUGUUGGCGAAGUUGCCGUAUGUCCGUAGGUGAAGAUGCCUUGAAGUCGCUUGGCGAAGAUGCCAAGGGAGAUGGUGAAGUCGUUGAUCGGUUGUUGGUGUUGAGAUCUUGACCUUCACGUUCUUGAUGGUGAUGGUGUCGAUGCUGAUUUGAUCUUGCCGGAGAUGGUAGCUCGGAAGGAUGUGCUCUUUAGCGUCUUCUCGAAGAUGAGGAAGAUCGCUUGUAGGACUUGAUGAGGGAUUUGAUCUCCUCCAUUUGAGCUUGCAUCUUGGCGUCGGAGUUGUUUUUCGUGGCAUCAAACUCGUCGUUGUUGUAGACGGAAGGUGAAAUGCCUUGCAUAUCCAUUACAAGACUCGAGUAGAGGUGAGUAGGAAAUGAGAUAAACAAUACCAAGUUACCUUAUCCCCAAAGUUGAGGAUGUAUCCCGUUUCACUCAAUGUGAAAUGAAAGAAUACUGAAAUUGGUACUGGACUUGUUCACUCACACCUAUCAAGUAAAGCUUAUGGUAGAGCUCGGUGAGGAUAGUGGCACAAAAAUUUGAUGGCAAAUGUUAGCAAGAGUCAAUAAUGUUGAAAGAGAUUCACAAAUUUGCAAGCGAAACAAGUGGACCAAUAGCAACGAAAGGUACACGGAAACACACACACGGAUAGAUAAAUGGGGUCGUGCAACCAAGGAAUGAGCACAAAAUGUGGAGUCCACGGAAAACGCUCGUGCUGCACAACUCAAGAGAGACGCUAACAUGAUUGCUCUAUUGGCGGAUACGACACUUGUGCACAACCUAUAAGAUGCAAAAUAUAUGUACUUUUAUCCCAAGUAUCUAUGUAUGUAUGGUUCCUGGUGUUUCUCUCAAGAUGAUCCAAGAUGAUCAGAUAUGACAAUCUUAUAUGCAAUGUGGUAUGAUGCUAUGGCACUUGCUUACAAGCUUCUUUGCUCUUUUUUUUGCUUAAAAGCUUUAUUUCUUUCUCUUUUUUUGUAUGGCCACUUUUGCACAGUGCACAAACCAAGAUAGCAAUUGUGUAUAUGCGGGAACAAACUUGUGACACAAGAUAUGAUACCAAGAUAUGCACCAUGAUGAUAUGGUAUGUAUGUAAUGGAAGGUGUGGACCAAUGAUCACUAAUGUGCACAAGUAGCGUUGCCGGCAAUACUCAAUGGCUAGUCUCGAUAGGCAAGUGACACAAAAUGGGUGAUACGUCUCCAACAUAUCUAUAAUUUUGAUUGUUCCAUCCUAUUAUAUUACGCCUUUUGGAUGUUUAUGGGCAUUAUUUUACACAUUUAUAUCAUUUUUGGGACUAACCUACUAACCGGAGGCCCAGCCCGUAUUGCUGUUUUUUUGCCUAUUUCAGUAUUUCGAAGAAAAGGAAUAUCAACCGGAGUCCAAACGGAAUGAAAUCUUUAGGAGAGUGAUUUUUGGAACGAACGUGAUCCAAAGGACUUGGAGUGCAAACCAAGAAGCGAUCGAGGUGGCCAAGAGAUAGGAGGGCGCGCCCACCCCCUCUGGGCGCCCCCAUAUCUCGUGGGCCCCUCGGGCGGCCACCGACGUACUUCUUCCUCCUAUAUAUACCCACAUACCCCGAAAACAUCCAGGGAGCCAACAAAAAACAAUUUCCACCGCCGUAACCUUUUGUAUCCGCGAUAUCCCAUCUUGGAGCCUUCUCCGGCGCUCCGCCGGAGGGGGAAUCGACCAUGGAGGGCUUCUACAUCAACACCAUAGCCCCUCCGAUGAGUUGUGAGUAGUUUACCACAGACCUUCAGGUCCAUAGUUAUUAGCUAGCUGGCUUCUUCUCUCCUUUUGGAUCUCAAUACCAUGUUCUCCCCCUCUCUUGUGGAGAUCUAUUCGAUGUAACUCUUUUUGUGGUGUGUUUGUCGAGAUCCGAUGAAUUGUGGGUUUAUGAUCAAGUUUAUCUAUGAGAAAUAUUUGAAUCUUCUCUGGAUUCUUUUAUGUAUGAUUGAGUUAUCUUUGCAAGUCUCUUUGAAUUAUCAGUUUGGUUUGGCCUACUAGAUUGAUCUUUCUUGCCAUGGGAGAAGUGCUUAGCUUUGGGUUCAAUCUUGCGGUGUCCUUACCCAGUGACAGCAGGGGUUGCAAGGCACGUAUUGUAUUGUUGCCAACAAGGAUAAAAAGAUGGGUUUUAUAUCAUAUUGCUUGAGUUUAUCCCUCUACAUCAUGUCAUCUUUCUUAAUGCUUUACUCUGUUCUUAUGAACUUAAUACUCUAGAUGCAUGUUGGAUAGCGGUCGAUGUGUGGAGUAAUAGUAGUAGAUGCAGGCAGGAGUCAGUCUACUUGUCACGGACGUGAUGCCUAUAUACAUGGUCAUGCCUAGAUAAUCUCAUAAUUAUUCGCUUUUCUAUCAAUUGCUCGAUAGUAAUUUGUUCACCCACCGUAAUACUUAUGCUAUCUUGAGAGAAGCCACUAGUGAAACCUAUGGCCCCCGGGUCUAUCUUUUAUCAUAUAAGCUUUCAAUCUACUUUUAUUUGCAUCUUUACUUUUCCAAUCUAUAUUAUAAAAUACCAAAAAUAUAUUUAUCUUAUCAUACUAUCUCUACCAGAUCUCACGUUCACAAGUGGCCGUGAAGGGAUUGACAACCCCUUUAUUGCGUUGGUUGCGAGUUCUUUGUUUGUUUGUGUAGGUGUGUGGGACUUUUGAGGAGCCUCCAACUGGAUUGAUACUUUGGUUCUCAAAAAAUGAGGGAAAUACUUAUGCUACUAUUGCUGCAUCACCCUUUCCUCUUCAAGGAAAACCAACGCAAAAUGGUGAAACAUGGGAGGCUGAUUUCGCAAGGGCCGGAUAUCCAGGGGUAGGGGCCGGAUUUCCGUGGGUGUAUGUCCAGAACCAUGCAGAUUUAGUGCUCCAGGAGCCGGAUGUCCGGCUUGGGGCCCGGAUGUCCAGCCCGAGGCCCGGAUGUCCGGCCCAACGAUUCCAGAGCUCGUUUGGGGCGGAAAUUUUCGAACUGGGGGCGGAAAUUGAUGAUUCCAAGGGCAAAAUUAGUGAGAUUUCGUGGAUGGAAGGUUGGGAAACUUGGGGGAAAGCUAGAUCCACUCGAAAGUAAGCAAAUCCAUGGAUCAAUAUGAACAAAACAACAUCAAAUGAACAAAUCACAAAACAAAAUUGGGGUUAUUUUUUGUGGUGAUUUUCGAAAUUUAGGACGAAAUCAAGUAAAAGAGGGCUAGAAAAUGGUGGGAGGGACUCCAAAUACGUGAUAAAUGUGGCUCAUGAUACCAUAUGAUAUAGGGCUAACCCGGUGUAGGUCGAUCUUUCACGAUUGGAGUGGGAUCCCUCGAAGAACACGGGGAAGAAUGGGGAGAAAUCACAAGGGGAAACUCUAAACAACAAGUCCAAUCACACAUCCACUAGACAAUCAAACACACAAGAUCCACAAGGGUACAUGAACAACAAAAGGAAAGAUAUAAGGUAGAGUUCAUCUCCAAGAGGAGGUCUUGAUGGUAUCCUAGAUGGAUCUUCCCGCGAGGGGGUCUUGAGGAUAUCCCGCAAGAUCUUCUCACAUGGAGGUCCUGAACUCCAUGGGAGUGGUCUCUCUCUCUCUCAAGAGGAGGAGGUAGGAGAAAAUCUCACCUAAGAAUGAGCUAUCAUAUUUUCUAACCCUAGAAUGGAGGAGGGGUGGUCUAUUUAUAGUCUAAGAGACGAAAGGGUAAGUGGGAAAGGGAUACAUGGGCCUCUAGCCCGACUCUGCGCGCAGGCAGGCGCCGGAUGUCCGGGCUGGGGGCCGGAUGUCCGGGCUCUCGUGAGACGCCGGAUGUCCGGGGCGGUUAGCCGGAUGUCCGGCCCGAGCGGGGUGGCCUUCUAUUGGCUCUAGUUGUCGAUGCCGGAUUUCCGGGGGAAGGCCGGAUGUCCGGGCCGUCGGGAGGUGCCGGAUGUCCGGGGCUGACGCCGGAUGUCUGGGGCCUGUAGCACUUGGGCUAUUGGGCUGCUGCUGUCAUUGACAUCUCCAGGGGCCGGAUGUCCGGGCUAGGGCCAGAUGUCCGGGUCCUGGAAGCUGUCUCCGUCUUCUUCCGUCGUCGCUUCCAGGCUUCCCUCGUGGAUGGUGUAGUUGUUACUUGGCUCUUGCACUCCUCCUCGUCGACCGUAGUGUUCCGAUAAUACCUAUGCAUGCACACGAGAGAAGUUUCAAGUACUACACCAUCCUCAAAGGGGUCAAGUGAACACAUGUAAAGUAGAAGAUUCACCUUUAUGUAUGAUAAGUAGAGGUCGCACGUGUCACUUGCCAAACAAACUCUUGACAUGGUGAUGUCUGUAGGAUGCUCCGCAUCAUCCGGCCUCCCCUGUCUGCGUACAGUGUAAGGGCUGAGGCCCAUGUUCUCCUUCGCCCACCUAGACUAUAUAUACUCCCCUUCCGCCCUCUUUCUAAGGUUAUCAAAGGAUUAGCUCAUAUUUGUGUGAGAGCUUUGCUCAUACACUUGGUUACUUCUCCAUUGGAGUUGACGACCUCUUCGAAGAAGAUCCCCCAAGCCGAUGCAAGACCCCUUUACAAGAAGACCCCCUCAAGACCUCCUCACGGAGAAGAACUACCGCCACUUGUAUCGUCCUUUGUUGGAUUUGAAUCGUGUAUCUCUUUGUGUUUUGAGGAUCUAGCAUAUGUGUGACCGGAUCUUGUUGGUUUAGUGAUUUCUCUUGUGUUUCCUCUCAUGUUCCCCAUGUUUUUCCCCUCAUGUUCUUUGCAGGAUCCCCUCCAAUCGUGAAAUAACGGGCAUCUAGAUUUCUACCCUACAUCAUCUUGGUAUCAUGAGCCACGUUGAUCACGUAUUUGGAGCCCCUACCCUUCUUUUUCUAGCUUGAUUUUGUUGUGUUCUUCCCCAAGUUCGAAAAUCGCCACCAAAACAGCCCCAACUUUUUUUGUGAGUUGUUGGUGUGAUGAAGUUUUGUUGUAUUUGAUCCAUGGAUUUGCUUUGCCACGAGUGGAUCUAGCUUUCCCCCAUCAUCUCCACCUUUUCCAUCCACAAAAUCCCCCAAAUUUUGCCCUGGAUUUGACAUUUCCCUGCGGUGUUCAUUGAGUUCGUCCAUGGAUCCCAAGCCCGGACAUCCGGACCGUGAUGUGCGGACAUCCGGCUGACCCCGGACAGCCGGCCACCAAGCCCAGACAUCCAGCCCCUGACAGCAACAACUCCAUCCACCGUCCCGGUUCCCGCCUAACUUUCGCCAAGUUUUGUUUCGGUGCCCAUGCAUACUUCCGCAUACCACCAUCACUUCCACAUACCACCAGCGCUUUCCACAAGCUCCACCAUCACUUACCCGCAAGCACCUCCAUCAAUUUUGACACAUUUUGGUCUUUGAGAAUUUGAGUUGUGGUUCCCGUGUCCUAUUGUGUUUUGGCUAUAUAGGUAUGGUUUGACAUCAACAUCACCACCGCUCAUCUUCGCCAAGGACUCGACAUCGCCAACAACCAUCCAUGCUUACAAACGACUACCUUGGCGGUAACCUCGACGACAUCUUUGUCUGCUCAUUGCCAUUGCAUUGAUAACCACCUUAGCCUUACUUUUGCGUUGCUUACCCAUCGAGACUAGCCUUUGAGUAUUGCCAGCAACGUGACUUGUGCACAUUACUGAGCAUACUUCCCAUAGCAUACAUACCAUAUCAUCGUGGUGCAUAUCUUGGUAUCAUCUUUUGUGUCACAAGGUUGUCAUCGCAUAUACAAUUGCUAUCUUGGUUCGUGAAGUUUUGCAUGAGAAAAGAGCUCAAAAGAGAAAGAGCCAAACAAGCUUUUAAGCAAAAGGGAAAGAUAAGCAAAAAGCUUAUAAGAAAGAACCAUAGCAUCAUACUACAUUAAGAUUGCCAUACUCGACCAUCUUGGAUCAUACCAUUGGAAUACCAUACAUAUAGCAUACUUGGGAUAGAAGUCGUUGCAUUUUUGCCUAGUAGGUUGUGCACAAGUUUUCUAUCCGCCUAUUGUGCAAUCGUGCUAGCAUCUCUCUAGUGUUGUGCAACAAGAGCAUUUUCGUGGAUUCCACAUUUUGGCUCAUUCCAUGGUUGCACGACCCCACUUAUCUAUUUGCAUGUGUGUUUCCGUGUACCAUAUCUUGCUAUUGGUCUACUUGUUGCAUUUGCAAAUUUGUGAAUCUUUUCCAACAUUAUUGAGGCUCACUAACAUUUGCAUAAAAUUUUGUGCCAGCAUCCUAACCGAGCUCCACCAUAAGCUUUUACUUGUGUAGGUGUGAGAACCGACAAGAAUUGGUACCAAUUGUGCUAUUUCCUUGUACCACAUUUUAGUGAUCAUUGAUCCAUCUUCAACAUCGGUCAAGGUACAUUUGGUAUAAGUUAUUCUCUUUCUCCCACUCACAUAUUUUCUUGGAAUGAUGGAUAGGCCAAGUUCUUCUACCAACCCACUCUUCAUCGAGCAAUACGACGACAUGUCAUCCUAUGUCACCAAGAGCCACCUCUUCGGUGUACAAAGAGCUUUACAUCAAGAAUAACAAGCAAUGAGAGACUACUUCGACAACAAGUUCGACGCACACAAACAAGAGAACGAUGCAAGAAUGGACGAGAUUCGUGCCUUGGUGGUCAAUCACCCUUCCACCACUUCGUCCUACUCAAGACGGAGCCGCUCGAGUCAACACUCUAACAGCACCCUCUCUGGCUCAAGUACACGGACAUCGAACACUCUUCGAUGAGCCGCACGCCAAGACUGUCAAGCUAACCGCAAUCCUCUUCAUGGCAACCAUCCACAAGGGAAAUUCGAUGAGCAAGCACAUCGUCAAUGUCAACGUAACCAAGAGGAAGAGCGAGCGCGCCAACACCAAGAUGAACAAGACACCGAAGCGCUCCGUCAACAACAACAACGACGUGAAGCCUAAGCACUUGAGGCGCAACAUGCAUUACAUGACACAAGUCAUGCCAUCGCCGUCUGCAAUGGUCAAACACACGAGCAACAAGAAGCAUUUUGCGAGGAAGUCCAAGAGAGUGAACGCCACAAGCCGAAAUUAAGUGCCUCGAUGAUGAGAGACAAGAAAAACUUAGUACUAUUUGCCACCAAAAGUGACAUGAGAGAAGUGUGCAAGAACCCAUCAAGUGUUAUGCACUAUGUCCUUGUGUGCAAGGACGAGGCAUCAAAAACUAACACCUCUCACGAUGUUAUCUUCUCUUUUGCAGGAAUUCCAAGAUGUUUUCCGCGACGAGCUACCUCCACGUCUACCUCCACUACAAGGCAUUGAACACCGAAUCGACCUCAUCCCAGAGCACCUCUACCUAGCAAAGCUCCCUACCGUGGCAACCCCGAGGAAACUAAGGAGAUCCAAUGGCAGGUACAACAACUCAUCAACAACGGUCAUGUACGUGAAAGCAUGAGCCCUUGUGCCGUUCCGAUAAUCCUUGUUCCAAACAAAGAUGGUACUCAUCGCAUGUGUCCCGAUUGUCGUUCCAUCAAUUCUAUCACGGUUAGAUAUUGUUACCCUAUUCCACGCUUAGAUGAUAUGCUUGAUGAGCUUAGCGGAGCCACCAUUUUCUUUAAAAUAUAUCUUAAGAGUGGCUACUAUCAAAUACACGUCCAAGAAGGUGAUGAAUGGAAAACCGCAUUUAAGACCAAAUUUGGGGCUAGUUAUGCCAAUGGGUUUAUCCGACGCACCUGGUACUUUCAUGCAAGUCAUGCACUUUGUUCUUCGUCCCUAUAAUGGUGUAUUUGUUGUGUCUAUUUUGAUGAUAUUCUUGUCUUUAGCAAAUCCCACAAAGAUCAUGUCACCCAUCUUAGAACCGUGUUGCAAACCCUUAGGAAAGAACGCCUUUAUGCUAAUAUGGACAAAUGCCUUUUUGGUGUUGAUAAGCUUGUUUUCUUGGGUUUCGUUGUGUCUUCUAAGGGUGUCCAUGUAGAUGAAUCUAAGAUCAAUGCUAUUAAAACUUGUCCCCAACAAACCAACUUGCAACAAGUGCGUAGUUUCUUGGUUUAGCCGGUUUCUAUCGUAGAUUUGUGAAGGAUUUUAGCACCAUUGCGUCACCUUUAUAUUCUUUGAGUAACAAAAAUGCGCCAUUUGUUUGGGGACCAUCCCAAGAUACCGCAUUUAAUGAGCUUAAGAAUUUGCUUACUCAUUCUCCCGUGCUUGCAUUACCCAACUUUGACAAGCCUUUUGAGAUUCAUUGAGAUGCUAGUGGUAAUGGCAUAGGAGGUGUGUUAAUGCAAGAAAAGCACCCCAUAGCAUACUUUAAUGAGAAACUUUUCGGAGUGCGACUCAAUUAUCCCAUCAACGACAAAGAGAUAUAUGCUUUAGUGCGAGUUUUGCGUGAAUGGGAACAUUAUCUUCCCCCUCAUGAAUUUAUCAUUCAUACCGAUCAUGAAACACUUAAGUACUUAAAGGUUCAAAGUAAGUUGAACAAGCGUCAUGCUAAAUGGAGUGAAUUCAUUGAGUCGUUUCCUUAUGUCAUCAAGUACAUCAAAGGCAAGGAAAAUGUAGUGGCGGAUGCUCUUUCCCGCAUAUGCAUGCUUGUCACUAAACUUUAAUUGAAUGUCAUUGGCUUUGAGCACAUCAAAGACUUGUAUGCGCAUGAUCCUACUUUUGCAAUUCCUUAUGAUAAGUGUUUGACGUAUACAUCUUGGAAUGCUAUUACAUCAAGGAUGAUUAUCUUAUGAGAGCUAACAAACUUUGCAUUCCCGAGUCUUCUCUUCGUUUGCUCCUUUUACAAGAGGCUCAUGAAGGCGGACUCAUGGGACACUUUGGACACGACAAGACAUUCGCUACGCUCUCCAACAACUAUUUUUGGCCCAAGAUGUUCUGCGACGUCUCACGCUUCACCAACCGAUGCUCUACAUGUUGCAAAGCUAAGUCAAAAGCUCAAUCCCAUGGUCUUUACAUGCCUCUUCCUAUUCCUUAUCAACCUUGGGAAGACAUUAGCAUGGACUUUGUACUUGGUUUACCUAUAACUCAAAAUGGAAAGGAUUCUGGGUUUGUUAUUGUGGACCGAUUCUCUAAGAUGGCUCAUUUUAUCCCAUGCAAGAAGAUAGACGAUGCUUCACAUAUUGCAAAUAUUUUUUGUAGGGAAAUCUUGCAUCUACAUGGAGUGCCAAAGAUGAUUGUCUCGGACUGCGACGUCAAGUUCUUGAGUUACUUUUGGAAGACUCUAUUCACCAAGCUCGGAAUCAAGCUCUUGUUCUCUUCAGCAUACCAUUCUCAAACCGACGUCCAAACGGAGGUGACGAACCGAACACUCUCCACUCUUCUACAUGUGUUGAUCAAGGGGAACAUCAAGGACUGGGAGGAGUGUCUACCCAUCACCGAGUACGCCUACAACCGCGCAAGACAUUCGACUACCGGCAAUUCCCCUUUCAAAGUCGUCUAUGGUUUCAACCCGUUGUCCCCAUUGGACAUUCUUCCUCUACCACUACAAGAGCGCAUCAACGAGGACUCCUAUAUGCAUGAACGGCAAGAUUAAGUGUCUGGAUAUACCGUUUCCUUUCUCUGUAAACCGACUCUGUACAACCCUAGCCCCCUCCAACGUCUAUAUAAACCAGAGGGCUUAGACCGGAGACGGGAUCAUAACAGUACUCAUACACUAGACAAGCUAGGGUUUAGCCAUUACGUUCUCGAGGUAGAUAAACUCUUGUAAUCCCUAUAUUCAUCGAAUACAAUCAAGCAGGACAUAGGGUUUUACCUCCUUUAAGAAGGGCCCAAACCUGGGUAAACAUUGUGAUGCGGAUCAUCCUAUGGUCAUCCCCAUGGACCUACUAUUUUCUCACCAAGUGCUAAGAGGACCUAUGACACGAGCACGAGCUAGAGCUCUCGAGACUGAGGUGACUUCUUUCCUUAGUGAUAUCUCAUAUGAUCCACUUGAGAUAUGGCUACUACCUAAGUUCAGAAUGUUGUGCAUGAUUAGGUACCGAGAGAACCCUCCCAAGGAUGCACAUGAAGAUGGUCAAGAUCCCAAGUCCACGGAUGAAGAGAACCAAUGGAGGGAGACAAGAACAACUUCUAGGACCCGAACAUCCGGCCAUGGCCCCGGACAUCCGCCCUUGGAGGUGUCGCCUGCAGCCAAGGACUAGUGGCCAAGUCUACAGGGCCCGCACAUCCGGCGGCCAGUCCGAACAUCCGGCCCGUCACCCCGGAAAUCCGGCUCCCAACUCGGACAUCCGAGCAAGUCAUCCAGGGAGCACCGAGGCCUGCCUCGCCAGCCCGGACAUCCGGCCACGACCCUGGACAUCUAGCCCCUCACGACGUCCCGGACAUCCGAACGACGCCCAGACAUCCAGACCAGCCCUAUCCAGAGAGUUCCAAGAUGGUGUCAGGCCAGCCCAGACAUCCGGUCCAACCGCCCGGACAUCCAGCACUUCAUGAACACCCGGACAUUCGGCCCGAUGCCCGGACGUCUAGCUUCCCCUGUCUGCGUACAGUGUAAGGGCCGAGGCCCAUGUACCCACUACAAAAAAAAAUACACUUCCAUGAUGAUACGUGUUUAUCACAGUAGGUCGCGUUUUUUGUCAUGCAUGUACAUCCAUGACGAUUUUAUGACAGAAUUAAGAUAGUCGUACAUGUGCUGUCGUAGAAGUUUUCCAUGACAUUACCAAAAUUAUCAUCACGGAAGUGUCCGGUUCCAUGAUGAUAAAUCACGCAUCACAGAAGUGCUUUCGUCAAGGGUGACCGACACAUGGCAUCCACCGUAAUGGAACGCCGUUAAGCUAUCGGGUUGGGUUUUGGAUCCGAUAACCCGUUAACAGCCCCGACCAAUGGGAAAAUUCCACGUGUAAAAUUCUUAUUGGCCGGACUAAACACGUGUCAGCUCGUCAGUGGGUCAGAUAGGCGCCUAUGAUAUGUCGACACGUGCCCCGGCCCACUACUGGCCCAUUUAGCUUACAAAGUCGGCCCGUUUGACUUGGUCAAAAGUUAACGGGCUGGCCCAUGAAAAGCCUGUUAACGGUCUCUUCGCAAAUAGCCCAUUUUACGGCCCGUUAACUCAUGGCCCGUUAGACCCUAAAGGAAAUCGCCCAACAACAUCAUGUGGGCCGUCGAAUAUAACACCAGCCCAUUUCACUUUCGGCCCAUGUAUGGCCCACGACGUCUUUCGGCCCAUAUGAGGCCUUCGUAUCUUUCGGACCUUUACAGGCCCACGAUGACUCUAGCCCAUAAUGAACAGUAAUUGUCUUUGUACCCGUUAACGGCCCGUGAUUUACAUAGGCCGUUUCCAGCCCGUGUUAGCUUUCGGCCUAUUGAUGACCCAUAUGUUCUUGGGCUCCUUUUUGGCCCUCGAUUACUUCCGGCCCGUUACUGGCCUGUUCCCCUAAUGGGCCAAAUUUGGCCCAUGGCAAGAGUCGGCCCGUUACUGGCAUGUUCCCCUAAUGGGCCAAAUCCGGCCCAUGGCAAGAGUCGGCCCGUUACUGGCCUGUUACCCUAAUGGGCCAAAUUCGGCCCAUGGCAAGAGUCGGCCCGUUUCUGGCCUGUUAACCCAUUGUGCCGUUUCCAGCCCGUCCUAUAUUCUGGCCCAUUAACGACCCGUUAUGCCUGUGACAGAAUUAAGCCUUUGCAGUCCUACAGCCUGUUAAUGGCCUGUUACCGUGCUGGGCCGAUACCAAUUACACCCGAUUACGACCCAUGUAGACCCAUUUAUCCGACGGCCCGAGGCCCAUCGAUCACAGGCCCAUUUAUCGACGGCCUGAGGCCGACCGAUUACAGGCCCAUUUGUCGACGGCCCGUAGGAGACCCAUGGAUCCUACGACACGUAUAGGGCCCAUGGUAGUUGCGGCCACUAGCAAACCAGGGAAAAAGAAGACUAGGAAAUAAAUAAGGCCGAAACUAACGCUAGGCUAUUAAGGCGAUUGCACAGAUUACAUCCACUCAGCAUCAAAGAUCGCCACCAGUGCAAAUAUAGGGAACACCCUACACUACACAAAAAUGGCUUGCUGUUUUCUUCAGCCGGUGGCUGCACGUUAAGAAUAAAUUUUGUAUCGCACCAAAACAAAUUACAACUAUAUAACAAAAGGAAGGUUGGCAUAAAACUUAACAGUCUAGCAGAUAAAUGCUCCACCAGAAGUUCAGAAGCUCAGUUCAUUUGACCUGACUGUUACGUUUUCAUGCUGUAUUGUCCGAUGGAGCACCAUAACCCUCGCCUUCAUUUCCCCUAGGCUCGUGAACAACAUAGCAAAUGUCUGAUAGUCUGGUUUCAAAACCAUGCAUAUCUUGACGACAUUGAGCAAUGUUUCUCCUUGUUUCACAAAGGGCCUCUAUUAGGGAAUGGACUUGCGUCUGGAGCGCAGAUACAACAUUGCUUUGAGCUUGCAUAUCUUGAUCAUGAGGCAGUUUGGACGAUAUUUCCUUAACAACCAACCCAGUAUUACGCAGGAACGUGCUUUUGGCACUGUUAGUAGACAGGUACUGACCCACUGCAGCAAGAGCUGACAUUGCAAUUAUAGUUGCCUCACCACCUUCAGAAGGUGGCGGUUCCACCAUUUUUUCCAUAGGUCACUGAAAAGUUGAGGUUUUACAUUAGUAGUACCAGAACAGAAGAUAUUAAGGAGGCAGCAAAACCAAACAAAAUAGCUUUGGUCUAUAUACAGAACUUAUUCUGGUGAACCCUUGUAAAAUAUUAGUUGUAUUUUAUUGCAAAGUACAUAAUAAAACCAGGUUCCAAACAUAUGACCAUGUACCAUUGCUAAUGUAUUGUCUAUUUCUUCACAUUGUAUUGAGGGCUAAGUAUAAAGAGAUGAAGUUUAUAAUACGGUAAGCAUAGUAUGACAUCAUUCAUAUCACAAAACAACUGAGAAUAGUCAAAUAGGCAAUUGUAACAUUGUGUGGGCAAGUCCAGCACGAAACUAGAUUACGGGUCAAGAUCAAAGGAACAUCACUCCUCUCUUUUGAACCUUGUAAGGUGCAAUGAUACGCUAAGACAAUUGUGUAUAAAAUUGAAAAGAGUAAUAGACAUUGGCUGCAAACCAUGCAGUUCAAGGCACAAGUCAGAGUAAGUAGUAGUUAAAAGACAUGAGGAUUAAGGAAUUACAAUAGUGUCUUUGACUGUCAUAGUCAUGCCCUUCUUCUUGCUGGUGUGACAGUCCUUGAAGAUUUCCACGACAUUUGGUUCAGGUACUUUUCGGUCCUUGCGGGCUUUCCUCUGCAUUUCUAACAAGUCAAUAUAGAUCUGAUAAUAUGGUACAACAAAAAGAGUGAAACAACAGCUAAUUACAAGAGCCUCGCAGUGUGCAAUAUAGCUACGAGAUCCUGUCGUCUGUUGGAAUUUCACUUUCAUACGGUUGGCCUUGUUCUUUGAAUAGUUCACCUACAAGAAGAUAGAUUUGUGUGGCACAUGGAUAAAUAGGACUUCAACAUGUGUCUGAUCACAUAUAUAUAAUGUACCUGAUACUUCGGAUCAGACCAGUGUUAACAAGGCCCCUCCAGUCUUCAUCCGAUAUAUUUUCCACUGGAGAUGUUUGGGAAAGUUCACUGUUAGCCUUGCCUUCAAACUGAGUUUUCCUCAAGUUAUACCGAUACUGUCGCAGAGCAGACUUGAAAACAUGGGUGCAAGCUUGUCUGGUUGCAUCAUCUUGGCUAUCCAACUUGAACCUCAUCUGUUGAAAAUUAUGGGAGUCUCAUUAUCAGCAACCUAGAAAGUAUGGGAUAAAGCAAGACGAUAUUAGUAGUUUCCAUACAUAACCAUACUUACAGAUAAAUGGUUGAGGAAGGUGUUGAACUGGGUUUCGUCUUUGUCAUUCCUGUACUGAAUCCAUGUUGGGAGGAUACGUACAUGACACCUAACGGCAACCGCUGCCUCUGAUACUAACUUGGCUGACUCUGUAGCAUCACGUGGCCUUUUUAAACCUGCCUCAAAACGGAUCUCCAUUCUUCCUCCUCUAGAUUUAGUUAACCUAUCGAGCAUUAUCCCUAAUGUUUGUUUCCUCUUGCGCCUAGGUGCUAGUCUAACAACGAAUAUAGGAAGUGUUAGUGUACAUCAAACUGUGAGACUACAUAUAAAGAAGCAUGCAACUGUAACUUGACUCCAGCAACUACCUUCUUGUUGUUGAAGCUCACAAGGUUCAUCUGAUAUUGCCAACUCGUCUUGUGUCAAGAGUGCUUGGGAAGUAGUGUCAGGUGGAAAGGGAGCUUGGGAACGUGCUGCUAGCUCAGUUGACGCACGACUAAGUCGUGCAGCUGGUAGUACUGUGGUAGGUGUUGCAAGAACUAGGGCUAUCUCUGCUUGUUUGGUGGCAGCUAUUUUUUUCUGUUUGGCUUUUUUUGCAACUCGUGUAGCAUGGGAUGCCGUGUUUGUAGAAUUUUCCACUGGACUUUGACCUUCUAUUGCACCAUCAGUACCAGCAGAAUCUGCAUGAUUCAUCCGCUUCUCAUUCCCUGCCAUUCUGUGUUUCUUCCUCUUUCUCUGUGCCAUGUUAAGUCAAGCCGACAAGAAAAACGAAUAACAAUUUAGUUCUUCAGAACAAAUUGAUGCAUGAUGCAGAUGAACUGAACUUUGAUGUUAGACAACCACAUGAUAGGAGGAUGUAAUAUGUAUGAAAAACAGGACGGAAGAGAUAACCAGAACUAUGAUGUGUAAACUAAGAAGAAGACAUUUCACCAAAUUAGAAGCAAUGCAAUGGAAGGUAGACACCAUAUGAAAGAUGCUACAAAUAUCGCUCUGCCAAGUUAACAGUGUCUCAUCAUAAAUGGCGUUUAAACAAAUGUGAAGCAGUACAAGAAAUAAAUCAUAUGCAAGAUGCAAACAACAUCACACUACCAUGUUAGAGGUCUCUCGUCAUUAGUGCCAUUGCAUAUUCACAGCAUUGCAUAUUCAUGUGUAAACUAAGGAGAAGGCAUCUCAACAAAUUAGAAGCAAUGAAAGCUAGACACCAUAUGAAAGAUGCAACGAAUAUCACUCUACCAAGUUAAAACUUUCUCGUCAUAAGUGCCAUUUCAACAAAUUAGUAGUACAAGCUAGAAAAGAAUGUGAGAUGUAACCUAUAUCACACUCCAAAGUCAAACGUGUCUUAUGAUAAGUGAUUGUUGCAGGUUACACAACAGUAGUAAUUUGAUGUAAGAACAUGGUGUGAUAGACAUAUAUUGUAUGUUCUAGAAACAGGAACAUGUGUCUUAUUCAAGUAUAAUGUGUAAAGUAAGCAGAUGGAAUUCAACAAAAUUAGAAGCAAUACAAGCUAGACAUCACACAUAAUAUGCAACCACAUAUAAUAGUGCCAAGUUAGAGGGAGCACCAGUGAUGCUGCACCAGGGGAGACGUGCUCAUCAUAAACAUAGCUUUGUUGAGUGUCUAUGCAUGUGUUGUCUUGGAAAUCAUCUUGGGGGUGUGAAGGAGUAGAAACUGUAGAGGCCCACCAUUCGGAAGGAGCACCUUUAUCCGCUGCCUUGCUAACUUCCUUCCGCUUUAUUGAUUUUGAAUUGUCAAGUAAAACGGACAAGAAAAAGCAAUAAAAUUCUCUCUUCAGAACUCAUUCAUGCAUGAUACUGACAAUCACUACUUUGAUGUAUGGCAAACACAUGAUACCAGGAUGGAAUAUGUACGAAAAACAGGACGGCAUGGCAUGUUCACAACUGUUUGUGUAAACUAAGCAGAAACCAUUCCAGCAAAUAAGAAGCAAUGCAAGCUAGACACCACAUGAAAGAUGCAACUAAUAUGACUCUGCUAAGUUAAAAGCGUCCCAUCAUAAAUGGAAUUUCAACAAAUUAGAAGCAUCUCAUGCUAUAAAUCAUAUGAAAGAUGCAACUAAUAUCGCACUGCAUAUACUAAAGGUGUCUCGUCAUAUUGAUUGAUGCGGGAUACAAAAAACAAUAGUUUUAUGUAAGGACAGGCUUAAUAGACAGAUGUACUAUGUACUAAAUACAGGAAGGCAUGUCACAUUAACAGGUAUAAUGUACAUAAGCUAAGCAGACUUGCACAUGUAGUUUAACCAGAUUGGAAGAAUUACAAUCUAGACACCAUAUGCAACAUGCAACCACAUAUCACGCUGCCAAGUUAGAGCAAGCACCUGCGAUGCUAGUGUAGGGGAAAUGCUGUAAUCAACUAUAGAGCUACGUUCACUAUCUUCAUCUAGCAUUUCUGUUUCUUGAGAAUCAUGUCGGGAGGCUGACGCUGCAUUCUUUAAAUGAGGAGUAGUCCCCUUGCCUGCCUGCCUCGUCAUAAGUGAUUAAUGGGCGAUACACAAGAACAUUAGUUUGAUGUAAGAACAUGGUUAAUACACAGAUGUACUAGUAUGUACCAAAAACAGAAAGGCAUGUCAUAUUCAAAGGUAUAAUGUGUAAGCUAAGCAGAUGCAAUUUAACCAAAUUGGAAGCAAUACAAGCUAGACAUCCGGCUGGAGCGGUGAACAUGAUCAUCUAGGACCUGAGACCCCGGUGGGAGGCGGGAUGCUUCGCCACCAUCACGGCUUUUUAGUUGGCUUCCAGGUGAUGCCUGUCUUUGCUGGGCUUGUCACUGGCUCGGCCAGUGCCCUGACUAGCUAUUUUUCUUCUGGUGCUCACGGGAUGGUGGUUCAUGUAAAAAUAUAUCUUUCCUUAUCUUAAUAAAGACCGACUUCGGCCUUUCGAACACAAGCUAGACACCAUGUGGAACAUGCAACCACAUAUGACACCACGAAGUUAAAGCAAGCACCUGGGAUGGUGGUUCAUUGCGAGCGAGGUCAUCAACUCCAGAGAUACGUUUACCGUCUCCAUCUGCUGACACUGCACCCUUUAUAGCACUAUAACGUGCCAUGCCUAGCCGCAUAGAAAGCUGGCACGACUUGUCUUUUUGUUUUUUGCUUUUCUCGAGGCAGACUCUGAAAUACCCUUGCAUAAAAACACAAUAGUGAGAGCAUGGGUGAAGUGUGUGCAGAACUAGUGCACUCUAAAAGUAGCAGAUAGCAGGUGGCUAAAAAAUAAAUGACAGGAGACAUAUGAUAGCUCUACAAAAUUGCAUGGCAAACAAAAUUAGAUUCUACUCCGUAUGAUUUUGUAAUAUAUGAGCACAGGAAAUGCAGGUACUCCUCCAGCACACCACCACAUGUGGUCAUAUCUAAGAUAACAGUCGACUGAAAAUAAAUAGGUCAGUCAAUUUUUUUAAUGAAUCGUCCGAUCUAUAAGGAACGGGUAGAUGGACUUCGUCUACCUCCCGCCAGUCACCGUUGACGAUCUUUCUCGAACCGCCAUUGACCACCGGCCUAGACCCCUGCCUCCGCCGCCCCGCCCUCCCAUCAACCUCACACCACCGCCGUGCUUGGCAGCGCCCCUAGGUCAUCCCUUUAAUCCCGGCCGACCUCCAGAUCGGGCGCCAGUAGCUCUAGGCCGCACACGCCCCUAAGAUAAACACCAAGGCGCUGCUUCCCCGGUGUAAUAGUCGUACUACCGCCUGUUACACCGGGGAAUGCUUCCGUUAAUUGGGAAUAAACUGGCCAGAAAUUGAAAUUCAGGGGGGCGACGUACCUCUAGCUAAGGUGAAAUAGUAUAUGAGGAGAAACCUUGUGCAUCACGAGUUACUAGGAACAUCUAGUAUCAAGAAGAAGCGGUCAACUAGUGUCUUCUGUGGGAUGAAUACCGUGCAAGCAGAGACGUAAGAUUUGCACAAAUAAGGGAAGAGGAGUACCUUCUUCGGUUGCCAGUGUGGUCACCUCCACAUGUCGCGCCGAUCUUCUUAUUUUUACCGGGGAAACCGAUGUUCUGGAGGGUGCAGGCUUGGACGAACCCAUGGCCAAAUUGUUGACUAUGCUGUCGUGGCCGUAUGUCGACGGAGGGGAAGCAGAUCCAAGGCGGCGAAGGAUGGCGUAGCAGGAACAGCUCCGGUGCGGUGGAGGGUGGCAAAGUUGGAGCGGCAGCGGUGAGGCGCAGGACGGCGUGGUUGAACUGGCUCGGGUACGGACGGCUCGGCCUCGGCUUCAACUACGAGCUGUGGAGGGCGUUGCGGUUGAGGUUGCGGUGGACGACGACAUCGGGGUAUCGGCUCCGGAGUGAUGGAGGAGGGCGGCGGUUGAUGGGUGGGAUGGGGUGGCGGACGGAGGACGCCGGGGUUUCGCGGCUGGUGGAGAGGUAGUUUUGGCACCCGCGGAGUACGAAUGGGGAAUCAGACGGGUGGGGGGAACCAUGUUUCGGUCUGGGACGCGCUUGUUUUUGGCUUUUUUUGAACAGAAGAUGGGACGCGCUUGUUUGAAAUUUGGGGAAAGUACAAACUUUGCCCCCCUCUUAAAUUUCGGACCUACUGCGGGUCAGGGGUAGGAUGGUAAUCCCAGGUGUCCCAUAUAGUGGGCGGGAGCGAUUUCGGUCGCGUGCAUGUGUGCUUAGGCGGCCAUUGUGUAUGAAUGUUUUUCGGAGGCGGUUGCGUGGCGUCUAGAUGAAGCUACAAACCUACCCCAGUUUAGACCUUUGGACGUCGGGCCGGUAGGUUUCAUGAGUCGGAGUUAUUAGAAAAGUAAUUUCCUUGUACUACCAAACAUUGGUCUCACGCGGUUUCGGGCGAGUAGAGGCUCUUUUGGCGUUUCGUUCGAAAUAUUGAAACACAAGCAUUCACGUUUAGAGUACUCUUGAACUAUGAGGAUUGACCUAAAUAGACAACGUUAAAUUUGACCUUGUAUGUUUGAAAACCUCAUUAAAUUAUCCGCUUCUUUUUGAAAUUUUGACACUUGAAAAUCCUAUAACUACGAUUAUUUUGGAAUGGAGGAGCUAAAUUUGAAUCUAUUUUGUACACGACUACAUAUGCUAUUAUGUACAAAAUCAGAGCAAAGAUUGGUGCCCCAAUAAUUUAGGUAUUGUUACAAAUGCCAUGAUAUCAAAUUCAAAUAAUAGAAUGGACUUCAUGUUGAAUUUGAUUUUUUUUAAACCACCUUAAGUUGAAUUCAAAUGUAUGCUAGUUCAUAGGUAGCUAUUUAUAAUGUCCAUUGUGUAACUUUCGUAUGUAUAAUGUGCUUUACACACAUAACAUGAACUAUACUCACGUUUAUAUUCGAUUCCUAAAGCGAUGCAUUGUCUGGAGUUCAAAAUACUAACUAUGUGGAUCAAUUGUGUCGAAUAAUAACAUAGACAUGCUCAAAUUCGAUAGAAUCUAGAUGUCUGAUGGAUUAAUGACCGCUCCUUACGUGAAUUGCAAAUAUCAUGAUCCCAUCCUAAUAUUUGGAUACAAUUUAUAUCUUUAAUCAAUGUGUAGAGCAGUAUUUUACGUGUAGUUUCACUCUCCAUCAGUGGUCUCUCACACAUGCUCACACACUCUCUCCCGAGGUGUCUUUCUCGCACACAUGCUCUAUAUAUAACCCUCCCUCCCUCUCGUAACCAUUUACAACUGUUUUUACUAACCUUUAUCACAAGCACUCUUCCUCUCGCAAACAUACACAUGCACAGUCUUCAUCGACCCUUUCUAUAUAAAUGGACCUGCCUACGUGUCUCAUGUACGCACAUUAUCUUUACGCCUGUCUCAUGCAUUUUCUCACACCUCUCUUCCUAAUCGACGAGUAUGAUUCUAGCAAAGCAUUCUGUAGGAUGCCCCUUAAAUUUAGGUUGGAUGAAUAGUAAUAUCAGAGAUAAAGGGGUUACCUUAGUCCGAGAACCUACGGUUACAAAUCCUAGCCGGGUUUGUCAGUGGACACAGAGUCCUUCACAAUUCUGCUAUCUUUGUCUUGUACAACUAGUCAUCCAUGGGUCUUCCUAAAUGUGUCAUGGGCCGACCAAUGUGGCGCAGGACGGAACCGAACGAAGGGCCUCACCUCGACCCACUGGACCUCACACGGUGACACACCCUCUGCCCCCACGUCUCAUUAUCUUCUCACACCCAACAUACCAACACAAACACCACACACAAAGCAAUUUUCUCCUGGUGCCUCUAUUCCCUCCCCCCUUGCAUAUACACACUCAAGGGAAUGGAAUCUUUUGUCGUGGCGUCAUAGUCGNNNNNNNNNNNNNNNNNNNNNNNNNNNNNNNNNNNNNNNNNNNNNNNNNNNNNNNNNNNNNNNNNNNNNNNNNNNNNNNNNNNNNNNNNNNNNNNNNNNNNNNNNNNNNNNNNNNNNNNNNNNNNNNNNNNNNNNNNNNNNNNNNNNNNNNNNNNNNNNNNNNNNNNNNNNNNNNNNNNNNNNNNNNNNNNNNNNNNNNNNNNNNNNNNNNNNNNNNNNNNNNNNNNNNNNNNNNNNNNNNNNNNNNNNNNNNNNNNNNNNNNNNNNNNNNNNNNNNNNNNNNCUCUGUCCAUUCCUCUCUCGAAUACCUAAUACACACACAUACCUCUAUAGGCCCCGCCAAAUGCAUCAACUACACAUUCACACAUGUUACAUCACGUACCCCAUUGAUAUAAAAAGCCCUCUCUUCACAUUUAUUUCGCAUACAACAUUCCUUUUGAAUAAAGUGUGGCCAAAAAAUUAUUUUAGAGUUUCUACAUAUAUACAACAUUACAAAGUUAUAUGGAGGAGUACGAACACUAAUUUGCAUUGCAUGGUGCCCACAAUGAUAUUUAUUCCGCACUGUGAAUUUGUAUAUUUUUAUACUAUAUACAAAGUUAGUCAUAAUAAAGAGAAAUGAAGAGCAUCUCUCUUUCCAUCGCAUACCCCCCCUGUACGCCCCUUUCAUGUAUGCACAUAAAACUAUCUCCAGGUCCUCUAAAAGUAAGCCCCCAGAAAAUUCAUGCAUGUUUCAUCUUUCUCUCGCGAUAUAUGCAACGACGAUCAAUGUAUUUGAAGCGAAAGCACCAUACAUACAUUGGACUUCAUAAUCCACUCAUUACGGUCACCGUUUACGUUUAGUUGUUAUUAUACAGUCACGGGCUCACCGUACAACUCUGUAUUUGCUCAUGACAUGACUAGUUGACCAGUUAAACGCUCCACGUGGCACCUCUAGUGUUGCAUCACAUUAUCUCACUACCAUCGUGCCCACUUGUCGACUUGUAUCUACUCUACAUCUACACUCUUAUAAAAUACAUAAAAUACACUCUUAUAAAAAAUAGAGUUGGUGAUGAUGGUGUGCUUGCCAUCCUGCAAUAUAGGCCGUCUGAUUUAUAUCUGAUGGAUAGGAAAGAAACUAUGGCAAUUUUGCAAAAAGGUACCCACACACCUCUCCACAUUUGCAAAUAAGGCCUUCCCUCGUUCAUCCUUUUCUCUCACAAGAUAAAAAAGUCAUACAAAUGCAUGUUGAUGUUACGUGCAACGCACGGGCAUCUUGCUAGUAAGAAUGAAAACAAACGACAAAAAAUUAAUUUUGACGAUGGUUUGAAGUCAUGACCGCGGGCACAAUGGACAAGGUGGCCUUGUAUUGGUAUGCUGAGACGUCUGUUUUAACACACAUGAGCGGGUGUGGUGAUUAUACACACACGCAUACAUGCACACGAACUGCAUCCAUGCAACACUCACACAAACACAUGCACCCACGCACGCACGCAACACUCACACGUACACACGCAGCCACGCACACACGCACGCAUGCAUGCACACACCAGUACACCACACGACCAACACACACUCUCACGCUCAAGUGCUCAACCUACACGUGCAUGCGCACACAUCAGGCCCUGACAGACACAUACACAACCAGGUGAUUCCCGUGCACGGGUCGGAGCCUUGUCGCGCCUGCGUAAAUUUGUGUUUAUCUGACCUUUUCCCUAUGCGAACUAAUAGGUGGGACCCACAAGGAAUGUGGUCAAUUUAACUAGUCAACAUGGCGCCACACAGACUAUUUGGCCGGUCAACAGAGUGCAAUCCGAUGCUGAACUGUGAGCAAGUGACCGGAUAAUCACCGCAAAACGUAUAUAGUGACCGUAAUCAACUUAUUCUAAAGUUCGGUGACCGUAUUAUGCUUUUCUCUCUGUAGGCCCUCCAAAACUAUAUCUCUACACGUUCUCGCAUGUUACAUCUAACAACUAUGCAAUACAACACUACUACUACACUCUAACACAAUAAAUCAUAUGUGUUUUUAGUUUUACUAGAUAUUACAUUGUUACUUAUAAUUAUUAAGUUUGCAUACAUUAAAAUUGCCUUUGAAAUGUAUGGCCAGUAUCAUCUACCGCGCGGGAAAAAUCCCGCCUUUCCUGUUUAAUCGGGUUUGUAUCGAUGGAUCAUGCGAAACAACAAAACUAUAGUACUAUACAGUACAAGUGAUAGUUCAUUGGGCCGUUGUGUCGUCUACUCCUCCGUCGUAAGAGUGGAGUGCUCGCUUUCAUAAAUCUUCUAGUCCCUUUCGCCGACAUGUGGGACAUCAAGCUACUGGGUCCACGUGCCAUACCGGAAUAUAGUGUAGAGCAGCCGGGGUGAAGCACCCCAGUCAUGGUGCCGGUGUAGUAAUGAGCAAUGAGGCGUCAAAUCACAAAGUUGCACCUUUCCCGCAAUUAAGUUGGAGGGACGAAGUAAUAAUGCUAAAAAAAGAAGUUGGAGGGACGAAGCAACCAUCAUUUCACUCGUUGCUAAAUCCGCUUCUCCGUCAUCUUCUUCAACUUAACCACGUGUUGCUUCUGCCGUUGUUCUGCCUCAUGUGGGACGCGGAUCGGCUUGGUAAAGCACUGACACGUGGGACCGCGUGUUAGCAAAACCGCCAGGACAAUGUCCUCCGAAAAUAAGAAACCUCCCCCGCCAUCCGCACGGCAAAAUCACCUCCUUUUUAAUAAUCUUGAUUCUAUAAUUUUUUAGAUCAAUAUAAUUGAGAUUUGUAUAGAUAGCACACAGGAGCAAAACCAAGUGGUACAGUUAGGGGCAUCCAGAAUGUGUAGCCAAAUGUGAAAAUAGCUUUUGGCAUCGUGGGAACCAUUGUGGACAGUGCUGCCAAAGCCAAAAAGAUGGAACCAAAGCUCCAUGAUUGAUUGAUUGAAGGAAUAGAAAAAUGCAAUGUCUCUCCUCUUUCUCCCAUGCUUGGACGCAUGUAGUACAGUAUAGAGCACAAAGUCUACUCCCCUGUCCCUUCUAUCACAAAUCACAAAGCAGUAAGGCGUCAAAUCACAAAGCACGGAAGAAGCAACCAUCAUUUCACUCUUCGCUGACUCCGCUUCUCCAUUGUCUUCUUCGAGAAACCAUCUCACCGCACUAGUACUCCUAGUAGUAGUACUCGUAAAGGACUUCCUGGAUGCAAAUAAGGCGGUUGUUUCGGCUUCCAGGCGGCACUUGUGAACGACUUACCAUGGUCUCCCUCAAUGGUGUUCUCUGUCGAACGCACUUCACCAAACCACAAAAAAAAUAUUGUCGACGUCACCGCAAUGGGAAAGGAAGUCAAAUAUAGUUACUACCUCCAUUUUUUUGUACACAAGGCCAGUAUUAUCAAAAUUACAAUUUGCAAAGGGCCACUAACACUAAUCGAGGCAAAAUUGAUGAGGUUAGCAACCAAGGACAUUAAUAUCCCCUGCAUGCAUGCGGAAGUGAAAAGGUUGGUUUGCAUGGCGCUACAUUAAUCAAGCGAUGAGGAGUGAGAUGGUUAGCUCUUUGGUCUUUCAAGAAAAAAAUACGCAUUAAUUGACACAUGAAAUGAGGAUUUGUAUCGAUUAAAUCCCGCGAAGGAAAACCCCGCCUUUCUUUUUAACACUAGUAUUCCUAGUACAUACGUACUUAUCCUGUUUGGGUCUAGGCCUUGCAUUGCCAAACUUCGCCACACAUUUUUGCCAAGCUUGCCUAAAGUUUUCAAAAUGAGAAGGAGGUACACUUGCGCACAGCUGUCGCGGUCGCACCGCACCCUCACACGGUCGCUCCUGCAGCACCCUCACACAGUCGCUCCUGCACGCCGCAAACCCAACCAAGGGAACGCACCCUCACUGACAUGUGCUGUCGCAUGUGAACAAACCAAACUCAGCCAUCCUAUCACUGACACAUAAUUUUCGUUCAUAGAGUAUGUUUAUCCAACCGCAUGUCGGGAAGUAUCUGUACGACCCGUGCGGUGGUCUGUUGGGGAAGAAGAAGAGGUGAGGAAGAAGGAAAGAAGGAUUAGGAGACAUAGGAUAUUCAUCCAACCGCCUGAAAUGGUAGACUGACCCAAGUCAGGUGACUUGCAUAACAAAUAUAGUAUGUUUUUACACAGCAAAAGAUCCAUAAAAACAACAACAUAAAGAAAAACUAUCACUGCUCGCGGAAAGAGACGGCCUCGUCGUCUUUGGCUGCCGGCGCGAACCAGCCGGCGCUGCCGACGUGUGUCUCCGCACCGUGGUUGUCCUCGGCCUCCAGCUACUCGUUGAAGCGGAGCGUGCGGGCGCUCUACACGGACGAGAGCACAACCCGAUUCAAGUCGAGGACGUCCGGUUCCGCCUGGAGGAGGGCCUCGAUGGCAGCAGCAUCCGCGCGCUCCGCGUCGAGUCGAGCCUCCACCGCCCGGUUCAAGUCCAGGACUUCCGGUUCCGCCUGCAGGAGGGCGUCGAUGACAGCGGCAUCCGCGCGCUCUGCAUCGAGUCGAGCCUCUGCCGCCCGGUUCAUGUCCAGGACGUCCGGUUCCGCCUGCAGGAGGGCCUCGAUGGCAGCGGCAUCCGCGCGCUCUGCCUCAAGUUGAGCCUCCGCCGCCCGGUUCUCAUCCACGACAUCCGGUUCCGCCUGCAGGAGAGCCUUGAUGGCAGCGGCAUGCGCGCGCUCCGUGUCGAGUUGAGCCUCUGCCUCUCAGUCCUCCUUUAGUAUCGCCAUGUUGAACCGCUGGUCCGCCUGCACCAUGGGGGACUCAGACGCCGGCACGAAGUCGACGUCCAUCGUCUCAUACCCAUCGGGGGCCUUCUGCGCCGCGACCUCCGCAGUGUACAUUGGAUCGGCUUCCUCCUCCUUGUAGCUUGGCUCUAGAAAACUCGAGGAUUGGCCCACCGCAAAGCGAGCUUGGGAAUGGAUAUCUGUGGCGCCGACCGCCGCCGCGAUUUCUGCGCGGUGCUCUGGCGUCAGCAUCUUGUAGUAAGUGAUCUUGCGGCGCACCUUGGCUUUCCGGCGAACUAGGGGGCGCUUGAUGCGGGCUAGGGGAUCGAAAGGUGGGGGAAUGGGCUGGAGAUUUGGUGUGGUUUUAGGGCAGUGGCUGGCGUAGGCCGAGAGCGAAGGUUCCGGUGUGAAUAGUGGUUCUGGUGACGACCGGUCAAUCGGUUUUGAUUUUACAUCGCUCUUGUCGUGUUCGUGUUGGAGCCCGGCGCGCUGGACCCUCCACGUCGCUCACCGAAUGGAAUGCGCUUCGUCUUGCAUUUUUGCUCGCUUGUGGGACCGCAGUUGAGAGCAAACCGAUGUCCCUCCCCCUCCCCUACCCGCGUCAUUUAUUAUACCACCACUCGCUCUGUUUUAUGCGGAGUAAAUAAAAACAGAGGGAGUAUACUACGGAUGAGGAUCCCGUGACGUGGCCGAACCCAUUGAGUAACUGACUUGCGGGGCCUGGCAAGCAUGGGGUCCACCAGUAAGUGACCGAAAGGGAGGGUAAGGCAGGGAUACCUAUGUCAGAGGAUCCACUUCCACUAUACUACUUUGACCAAAUGUUAGAGUAAUAAUAUAUGACAUACAACUUACACAAAUGUUAGAGUAAUAAUAUAUGAAAUGCAACUUACACAAAGCAUACAGGGUCUAAUGCGUUUUCCGAGGCUAACUUUGACCAAAUGUGAGAGUAAUAAUAUAUGACAUGCAACUUACACAAAGCGGUCAAUUUCAUAUGUGAAAGGAGUUUCCAAUGAUAUAAUUUUCACAUUAUACAUCUCAUGUACUAUUAAUCUUGUCAAUAGUCAAAUUGGUAACCAUCUCGAUUACAAAUCUAUGAGUACGUACGAAUCUAACAAUAUUGAUUGGGCGUUGUUGAAUGUUGAUACCUUUUUGAUCAUAGUAGAGAUACUUUGACUACACAUAACUUAUAUGUAAACUAGAAAGGAUAGGAGGGAGUAUAUUGUACGUUCAAAAACGAAACAGACAUUGAAUACCCUUUAUAUAUGAUUUGCGGAUGCUAUGAUCACCGGUUCAAAAUUUUGAAUCCGCCUUAGGUAUCACGCGCCCCCACUCGUUCCCUCUCGAUUUCAUCUCGGGGUCCGGAGAUCUAUUGAAAUAGGACUAGGGUUGGUACAUGCGAAUGAUACUCGGCGGAAUGUUCAAAUGAGGCAUGCGGGAGGAUGGACUCGACUGGAGGGCGACAUGAUCGAUGGAGAAGAGGGUUGGAGAGGAAUGAGAAAUAAGCAAACGCCACAUGAUUACACUUGAACGGCUCAAAUAAACAAUAAGUUGUCUCGCUUGGCCUACAUAGUGAAAGGCUUAAUGCGCCACACGGAGCACUAACGCUCGAAUAUGGCCGGGAAAUAGGGAAACCGACAUGUGGGGCACACCCGUCGGGAUGACGUAGCGUAGAAUAGUACAAUGGAGGAGCUGGCCCACGACCUCCUCGCCACCGACAACCGUUCAUGUGGGUCGUUGGGUCCAACAACGGGGCGCAGCUCCAGCCCCGCCUCUAGACACGGCGACCACGAUGAGCGACACGCUCAUAUCGUCGCUAGACACGGUCGGUUUCAGUGUGUCGAGGGUGGUAUUAGUGCUGUGGCAUGACCAACGGUAUGUUUGGUUUGUGCCCAAGGUUGCCCCAUCAAAGCAUUGGGUAGCCAAAAUUUUGGUUGAGGUAUUGGAUGCCCAUGAUUUGGCCGACAUUGGCAAGAAAAAUGAACUAGAGUUGGCUAGACUUCAUUGGCAUGCCAAAGAAAUGGCAACCAUCCAAACAAAGACCAAUCUUUGGGUCAUGACCAAAAUUUUGGUUGAGGUAUUGGUUGCCCAUGAUUUGGCCGACAUUGGCAAGAAAAAUGAACUAGAGUUGGCUAGAGUUCAUUGGCAUGCCAAAGAAAUGGCAACCAUCCAAACAAAGACCAAUCUUUGGGUCAUGACCAAAAUUUUGGUUGAGGUAUUGGUUGCCCAUGAUUUGGCCGACAUUGGCAAGAAAAAUGAACUAGAGUUGGCUAGAGUUCAUUGGCAUGCCAAAGAAAUGGCAACCAUCCAAACAAAGACCAAUCUUUGGGUCAUGACCAAAAUUUUGGUUGAGGUAUUGGUUGCCCAUGAUUUGGCCGACAUUGGCAAGAAAAAUGAACUAGAGUUGGCUAGAGUUCAUUGGCAUGCCAAAAAAAUGGCAACCAUCCAAACAAAGACCAAUCUUUGGGUCAUGACCAAAAUUUUGGUAAGGUGCACUUUGGCCACAAUCCAAACACACCCCAACACCCGGCUCGUCGAGGAUGNNNNNNNNNNUGGUUGCCCAUGAUUUGGCCGACAUUGGCAAGAAAAAUGAACUAGAGUUGGCUAGAGUUCAUUGGCAUGCCAAAGAAAUGGCAACCAUCCAAACAAAGACCAAUCUUUGGGUCAUGACCAAAAUUUUGGUUGAGGUAUUGGUUGCCCAUGAUUUGGCCGACAUUGACAAGAAAAAUGAACUACAGUUGGCUCGAGUUCAUUGGCAUGCCAAAAAAUGGCAACCAUCCAAACAAAGACCAAUAUUUGGGUCAUGACCAAAAUUUUGGUAAGGUGCACUUUGGCCACAAUCCAAACACACCCCAACACCCGUCUCAUAGAGGAUGCACGGGGUGCCGCGACGCAUCCGCAGAGUGGUGUAGCGCGGCCAACUGCAUCCUCUGGACCUAAGACCAUGCCGGGUCGUCUUGCUUUUUCAAUGACAUGCGGGGAUCACAUUUGAGCAAAGGGCAUCUCCAACGUUGCCACGACCGCAGCUGACUACCCUGGCACACGAAAGCCCUCGUCCCUCGUGUUGUCGUGCGGCGUGUUCCCAGCUGGCGCCAGCUGCCCGCAUUCAUGUCAUCCAUUCAUAUGUCGUCGUUAAGAGGCUCGGUGCCCGAGGAAUCAACUCCGGCGACUUAAUGACGCACCCGGACGCUUGGCCUCACCGGAAUGCGCUACUUAAAGCGGCAACGCCCAGCUAACCUCCACACCAUAGCGCAUCGUCCUCCUACCUGGCACCACAUCCGCCAUGACCGCUAGUGCGAACGCUCUGCGGGAGAGCUUGUCUUCGAGGAUGAAGCUCGAGGUUGCCGCCCUCGCUCAAGUCGCCUCUCGCGACGCAAUAGCAGCGUAGCCGGACGCGGACAUGACCGCACAAGCGGUGGCCACGCUGGCGGACGAUGACAGGAGCACCGUCAGCCACGUGUCCUACUUGCUGCCAUCCAACGUCAGGCACCGCCGAGGUCGAGGACUCCUCCGAGGAUGGGUAGGGCAUGGGAUGCGGCAGGGCAUUGAUGACCCGCGAGUAUACGGGAUAGUUGUAGCCUCUUUCCAUAAUUAAGAGUGUCGAACCCAAUGAGGAGCUAAAGGUAGAACAAAUACUCUCUCAAGUCCUAUCGUCCACUGAUACGACUCUACGCACGCUUGACGUUCGCUUUACCUAGAACAAGUAUGAAACUAGAAGUACUUUGUAGGUGUGAUAGGAUAGGUUUGCAAGAUAAUAAAGAGCACGUAAACAUAAACUAGGGGCUGUUUAGAUAAAGAUGCAAUAAAGUAAGUAUAGCGAGUGUGGAAAAGUGGUGGUAGGAGUUGUGAAAUUGUCCCUAAGAAUUUGACUACUUUACUAGACCGGUAAUCACUAUUGCAAUUCUAUUUGAGGGAGAGGCAUAAGCUAACAUACUU
Molecule: long non-coding RNA, 50279 nt
Filed under: Triticum aestivum (bread wheat)
Lineage: Eukaryota; Viridiplantae; Streptophyta; Magnoliopsida; Poales; Poaceae
Description: long non-coding RNA (TAES_LNC011834)
Source: RNAcentral